This 69902-nucleotide long non-coding RNA is filed under the name Coffea arabica (coffee). RNAcentral describes it as "long non-coding RNA (CARA_LNC002827)". Lineage: Eukaryota; Viridiplantae; Streptophyta; Magnoliopsida; Gentianales; Rubiaceae. The record is from RNAcentral.
UUUUUUUUUUUUUUUUUUUUGGUUUUCCACUUCUACUGUACUACUUGUUUGGUCUCUUUCUUGAUAAUAUUGAUUUGCAGCUAAUAAAGAAAGCUUUUCCUUCUCUUUCUCCAUUAAAUUUUCCUUUGGCACUUCUUACUUUUUUCUUCUGUUUUUUUUUUAAAAAAAAAAAAAAUUUAGUAUUGGUUGUUUUUCUUUCUUUUUCUACCUUCGUUGCUUGUUUCAUCCUUGUAAAAGUUUAUUUUCCUGAAUAUUUCUUAUUUCGUUUUUCUUUCAGAUGCGCAAUGGUAGUAAGGCGCCUGGAAUCUUUUAUCCAAAUUUCUAAUUACAACAUCGAUAAGGUGGCUUUUGAUCUCUCCUUAGACUUUUUGCUUGCGGCUUUCUCGAUCACAAGUUCUACUUUCAUUAAAAAAAAAAAACUCCAAUUCUUGCGUGAAAAAGGCAAAUCUGCAGCUGCAAAGAAUCUUGCAAAAGGUAGAAUCCACGACUUGAUGGCAAAUAAUAAAACUUCUAAGGGACAGGAUGUCGAAUAGGUGCUGAAAAACUUCUACAAAUCACACAAAAAAGGAAAAAUAAACUUGUCUUAGGUAAGUUGGCCACCAAAAUAGAUCUAAAAUCCUUGUUAAGGUAUAAGUCGAUGGUUCAAACUUUGCACCUUACAUUUAAAAAAAAAAAAAAAAAAACUCAAAGAUAUGCCAAAACUCCCUUCUAGUCUAAAUGAGCAUGCUUUCCCUCUACCCUCAUUGCAUCUAAAUGGACGUGCCUUCCCAUGGGCAUCUCUCAUUAAUGUGGGAUUUUAUAUUUAUCUGAAAUCACAGCCACUUGCUUCUCCUCUUUUUUCAACUUUGGAAACGGUCGUGUGUGUGUCUGUGUGUCUAUAUAUAUAUAGACACACAGACACACACACACAAGAGCAAAGUUGACAAUGCAAAAGGGCUUUGGUUACUUCUGAUAUAUCAAGUUUUCUUAGAUUUUUAUUGUCAACACCGGGACAAGAAGAGGGGUUGAAUGAGAAGAAUAGGACGAGGGGACGACAUUAAUGUGAUAGUAAGAACAUUUUUUUGUCAGAAUUCGCUGAAACUGAAUUUUACUUAGACAUGCUACAAUACCCUAUUCGUUCCUCUCAAAACACUAAAGUACGAUGAAAAGAUAGAUCACCAAGAGCAAAUGCAACACCAUAGAAGAGUUCACUCCCCCGCGCAUCGUGCGGUCCAUUUUUGUUCUCUUCCCUAAGAAGGUGGAUCAAAGAAAGAUAGCUUUCUUCUCUCAUGGACUGAUGGCUGCUUAUGUCGUCUAUGUGAAGGAUACUGAGAAAGCUUCUUCCUUGUCACAAACAAGAAAUUUUAAGAAUCAAAUUCUAAUGCUAGGUGGGAAGACCUUAAAACUAGAAAAAGGAAAAGAAAAUUGAUGUUCUCAAAAGCAAAAGAAAAAAAAAAAAAAAGGAUCUCAUGUCUUCGAUUAUCUGCCUUUGUUUUCUUCUAAUUUUAGUUUGUUAGAAGUAAUAUUUGAAGUUGAAAUUUGUCUAACAAUUGCCUUUACUUUGAGUUAAAGUUCCGGAAUAUAUUAUGGUAGGAAAUCAUAUACUUCACAAUUUGUCUGUUAACAUUUGAUUUUACGGUAUCAAAAGCCUUUUCGUCAUUCAAGAACAAUAUGCAAGGAUGACAAAAAUAAAGAAAAAGAAGAUGAUUCACAACGCGAUAAAGACAGAGAUCAAGAUCAGAACCUAGUUCACGAGCAAUUUACCCAAUUUAUUUCAAAGAAAGCGAGGAAGCAGCUCUCAAGUAAAACAAUGCAAACACGUCAAGAUGUUAAACCAAAUUCCUAUGCUCACUCACAAUCCCACAAAUGUGGGGCAUCCUCAUGUGGAUGAUUUCGUUCGAUUCAUCUGUUAUGUGUUUAGAUUCGCAAAUUUUUUCAUCUGUGCGUAUUAUUGUUGAUCCUUAGUUGUCCCUUUUUACUUUAACAGAGGUCAGGUUUAGCCCCCCUCUAAUUCGCUGUACUCUUUUUGGUUAUAAAUAAAUUAAGGGAUGGCAUCUAUUUAAAAAAAAAAAUUGAUUUCACGGUUUUAGUAGGCUAUGAUGAGUAUGAUACCAAAAUGGUGUAAGACGAAGGGACUAUAGCAUUAUGCAGGCCUGUAGCAUCUCCCUAAAGUUUAUAAGAAUGUUAAAGUUUACAGCGAUUAUAUGAACAUCUAUACUAUAUACACACUAUAUAUAAAGUGGAAGGCUAGGUUUGGCGUAAACAUUUUUUAUGACUUUUCAAAUUUUCAUUUAUGACUUUUAAAAAUUUUUUACUCUAACUGCAAUCUAUUUUCAUUGCAACUACAAAAUCAUAUCUUCCCAAUAUAACUACCCAUUGACUUAUGAACAUCAUUAUAGUCUUAAAGUAAAAAAAAAAACAUAAAAGAUUAAAGUUAUGUUUAAUAAUAAAAAUUUUAUGUAAAAUAAAUUUACAUAAAAAAUAAUUUAUUUUUAAAUUACACACACAUUGAGUGUGCCCUUGACCACUAGUGCAACAGUAUGGGUUUUUCAAAUACUGAUAGAUGGUUGCCACUGUAAGGUGUUAAAAACUUUAAUAAAAAAUAAUUGUCCCAAAAAAAACAUAAAGACUUAACCACCAUGGCACCCCCAACUAGGGGUGGCAAUCGGGUCAGGUUCGGGUUGGCGGGUCGGGUUGAGGUUUUAGUAUAACAAAGAACCUGCUGACCCGAACCCGGCCCGUCAACCCGAAACGGGUCAAGGUACCUGAUACGAACCCGAAAAUUUCGGGUUGGCGGGUUUGUUGGUCGGUCGAUCUGAAAUGACCCGAAACUUAAUUUUAAUUUAUUAAUUUAUCACUGUAAUUUCUAAUAAAAUCAAAUUUUCACAAAAUUAAUUACAUCAUCAAGUAAUAAAAAUUUAAAUAAAUAAUUUCAAACCAAAUCUAAAAUAAAUUAAACACCAUAAAAGUGUUUUAUCCCAAACCAAUUAUAAAAUAAAUUAAAACAACAUAAAAGUAAAAAAUAACAUAAUAUAUUAUUUAUCCAAAUAUAAUAAUUUUAACUUCACACAAGUUAAAUAAAUUCAUUUAGGAUUAAGUAAUUAAUGCCUUUGGAAAAAAAGAAUGAUUUAGUUUAGUUAGAUAAAAUAAUUUUUAUGUUUAUUAAAUUAGUUUUAAUUCGUAAACGGGUCACAUCGGGUCAUAUCAGGUCACCACGGAUUGACCCGAAAUUGACCUGUUUUCUUUUCGGGUUCAUCGGGUUCGACCCGAUUCUGACCCGAACUCUCGAAACCUCAACCCAAACCCAUUAAUUUCGUGUUAGGUUCGUGUCGUGUUUUCGGGUCGUGUCAGGAAUUGUCACCCUUACUCCCAACAUCCAAAGCUACAACCACCAACCAUGAAACACCAUAGCCACUAAUACUUCACUAUCAAUGAAAUGUAUACAAAAGCCACUAGUACUACACGGCCAAUGAAAUGUAUACACAGCCCAAGCCCUUUUUUUAGUGCAAACAGAUGAAUUAUUAGUAUUUGUGUAGUCAAUAAGCCAUUGGUCUAGUAGCUAAAAUUGAGAUCUCAUAAAUUAGAGAUUUUGGAUUCAUUUCUUUUUAUCCCCUCUCCUAAUCCAAGAAUAAAAAUAAGUAACAAAAAAUUAGUAUUUGUGUAAGUCACAAAUGCACAGAGAGUCUACGUCACGGAAGAGAAACAAGGAUCAAAAGGAAAUUUAAUUGGGAAGGGGCUGAAAGGAUAGAUAGAUGUCUGUGAAUCCACAAUAAGUAGUCAGCUAAAUGAUGCAAAACAUACCAAAUAUUAGACAAGCUAAUCACAGUCAUGUGAAGCUACUAUUUGACCAUGUGAGACGCGUUGAAAAGCUGUCUUGCAAAGAUUUCUACACUACACAAAGGCACUAAUUUAUCAACGCCUUCAGUAACUUUCAAGUCUUGACUGUUCGAUGCUUUGCCAAUCCCUCCAUCUGAAAUAUCACCGGUUGUAAUUUGAGCUGGUGCAUUCAGUCCCAUUGAUCUGGCUUUAACCAUUAUUCCCCCAAACUGAACCAUGUUUGCAUGGCUAUGUAGACGACUGAACAGAAAUGAUGGCCAAUAUCCAACAACGAACCCUGGCCCGAUUUCGAGCCACCAAUGUCCAUGCUCAGCAUCCUACAAAAAUGGAACUUCAGUUGUAUAAUUAAGAUAGUAUAUUUUAAUUGGAGAUUAUCUGAAAUAUUAUUUAGAAUGAUUAGUGUAGCACUAUUAUGAUGUCAUAUACAUAGAUGGAACUAGGAAAUAUAUCUUGAGCGGGUGAGUUUUAAUAUACCAACACUUAAUCGUGCAACCUAAAAUCAUUAUAAAGAGUGAUUUUGGAAAUUUUUUAAUUUCAUAAGGAAGGAAAUUUAAAUUUUAUGAAACUUGGGGAGGUGAGAGCCCUUUCGCUGUCCCCUAAUUUCAUCUCUGAUGAUAUAUAUGAGAUUAAAAAAAAAGUGAUAAAAGAUGUGUUUGUAAUGCAAGUAAAUUUUACAAAAUAAUGCUAAUCCAAACAUGUUUCCUACACUAUCAACAAGCCGGUUAAUAUAUUAUCAGGGACUAGGUUAUAUAUGUCAAAUAUGCAAAAAAAAAAAAGAAAAAGAAGAAGAUAUUUUACAUUUGAACAAAAUGAGUUGAGACAUGAUUAGUUUCAAGCUACUUAUAUGUGAGUUUUUUUUUUCAUUCGUCAUUUAUCUACUUUACUCCUAUUCUAACCUAAUCUAGGAGGAGACCCAAUUGGGUCUAUAGGGAAGCCUUAGUAUUUGGUGGUUUAUAUAUGAGUUUAUUAAUUGGCACUUUUAUACAUAAAUUGCGGGUCUCGCCAAGGGGAUCCACCAUUUUUGAAAGACACACUUAUAUAGUUAUAAAUAAGAAAAAUGGUUCAAAAUGCUUUUCACAUUUGGUCAAAUGAAUUUUUUCGCCCUUCAGUUUUAAAAUAUUAAUUUUAUGUUCCUUACAAAUUUAAGUUAGCAAAAUUUGGUCGUAACCUAAGUUUUCUAUCACUUUUUUAGCCUGAAAUCAUCACGUAACUCAAAUGCAGUCAUUUUUUUAUGUACAAAAAGGUCAAAUCCUAUAUUUUUAGUGACAAAAAUGAAUUUAUAUUUUGAUUCAAUCCCACUUUUUUUUUAAAAAAAUGAAUAUGGUUUGGGUUAGAUCCUACCUUUUUGGGACAAAAAUGAAUAUGGAUCGAGUCAUUCUAUUUAACUACAAAUGGAAUCUAAUUCUUUUACCCCUAAAAAAAUCAUGUGUUGUUCACGUGAUGAAUUCAAGGUAAAAAAAUGGUCAAAGACUAGAUUGGGACCAAAAUUUAUCCAUUUGAUUUUGGAGUAGACCUAAAGUUGCUAUUUUAAAACUGAAGGAUGAAAAAUUCAUUUAACAAAAUACCAGAGAUGUUUUGAAUCAUUGUUCCUUAUAGAUAUUCUUCUUUUGUGGAUACAUGAAAUUGGCAUUAAACGGCACUUGCAAACUGCCCUCCCCACUUGCCUUUACUUGUUUGUGAUCCAUUACUUGAUAGAAGUUGUGUGGUUUUGAUGGAGUUGGGACAAAAGCUACAAGCAUCAUUUAAAGCCAGUUGUUAUGAACUAGUAACAGAACCUUAGUUGUCGCCAACAAAGGAUAAAUAAAAAAAUAAAUAAAAUCCCGAUGCCCUGACAGAGAGGAUAAUCUGACAGUCAAUUAACUAUAUCAAGAAUAGUUGGUAAGUUAGAAAGGUAUCAGAAUGAGGAUGAUAUACAGUUGUAAUGUCAUGGUUAACCAUUUGUUUGUUAGACAAAAGAUGACAAUACUCUUCCUAAUUUGAGCAGGCAAACAAUAGGGUUGUACUUUUCUUAGUUUCAUUUGUUGAAAUGCAAAUAUGUGAAUUUAGUUUGAUUUUGCAAGACAAAAACUCAGGAUGUUUCAAUCAAAGUCUGUAAGAAUCUGAACUUGAAGGUUGCAUAAGAUAGCACUGAACUUACCUUUGCAAUCAUCAUCGGUAUGUCGAUAUCAAGUUCUCUGCCAUUCUGAGUAAAUCUUGGAGGGAUUGCUGCCCCUAAAGAAAUUCUGUUAUUAGUUUGUACAAAGCCUGAACACAGGAGGCUAUAGCAUCCUGUGGUUCCAUAUGAAUCAGCCUGUAGAUUGAAAGUGAUCAGUAGUCUAGAGCUUUUAUGUCUAGCACAUACAGACGUAACUUAAGGAUGUGUAUUUGAUGGUUUACCGUCCAGUACGUGAAUAAUCUGGGGGAGUUGUCUCCAAAUAAUUUCCGAUUAACCUGGAGAAUUUAAAAAUGGCUGAUCCUUAGAUGUCUUCUUGCACCCAGAAGACUUAGAAAACAUGAUUCUUGUGUCUAGUUUACUUACCUGCCAGCCGGCUUCAACAGUAUUAAGAUCAUUACUAGUAGUAUUACCAGAGGCUAUCCAGACUUGUGACAGUCUGAAGUCGUAUUGGUCCGUCUCAUUACCUUUCCAGACAUGUAUCUUGACUCGCGUUCCAUAGAAACAAUCUUCAGUAACAGUGGCAACAGUUUUCUACAUUGAAAAUAAAGAAAAGAUCAUGUAUACUGAAUCUGAAUCUGUGAACUUUUGAUGCUACGAAAGGGAACUUCAAAGCUUAGACAGAGCCAGAAUAUGUUAACUGCAAUUUGAUUCACAAGUUGAGUUGUUCAAAUUGUCCAAUUAGUUUCUUAAAUAUCACUUUCUCUUUUGGUAAGAAUUUCACUUUUAUUCUCUUCACAAACUUCUCAUUUGUGUGGCAGUGUUCCACAAACGUAAUUAUUCUUAGGAAAGAACAAGAAAAUGGCAUGAUCUAAUUUAGGAGAGAGAGACAUCUCGAUGUAAUCAUAGGAAGAAAAUAUGGGAUUGUGGGAAGUUUCCUCAAGCUUCGAGUUGCUUAUGCAUUGAUUUAGAAAUCAUUGCCUUGAUAAAUCUGUGAAACUGACCUAGCUAGUUUCUUAAAAACUAACUGUACCUAGAUUGUUUGAGUGCCAUUUUACUACAUUUCAUAGACUUACCAGUUGAUCAUCACUGCUUAUCUUAGCACUCUGUUUACUGAAAGUUUUUCUGCCAAAUUUGUGCAGUGAACCAGCCCUCAGGACAUCUUUCAUUGUAGUUCUUCUGAUGGGUACAGUAGCAUCAGGGCACGAUUCACCAGAAUCAGUCCACAGUUGAAUGCUCUUCCUCGAACCAUGGUGGGUUGGUUUCUGUCAAAAUAUCAGCAGAGUUAUAGUUAAAAGCUCUGUCUAUACCCAGAACCAGUCCAAACAAAACUUUUCAAGACAUCAAAUUUCUGUCAAUGUGGUGUACCAGGUUAAUUCUGAAUAUGUUUUGAUUAUCUCAGCCCAUGACUAAGCAUGUGUAAUUGUACUUUUGACAAAAUAGUUUCCUUAAACUGUAGUUUCUGCAGAAACAUGGAGGAAAUGACCUGAUUUUGAGCUCAAUUACCAGUGACUUCUGUCCUUUGAGCAGAGGAUGAUCAAAAGCUGGUUGGAGAUGAGAUGGGACACAAUCUAUUAGAUCACCAUCUGGACUCUGUGUCAAAGUAGUAAGGCAAAUUGAAAUCAGUAAACCUGAAAACCACUAAAAAGACGCCAACUUUAGCUAGAAACAGUUCUGGAAGGUAUGAAGUAGAAUUGCCUCAAUUGUCUUGAUUGCUAGUUUGUUAAUCCUCCUCAGAUAACUUCUAAUUCUCUUUAACUUCUGCAGCCUUUGACUCAGACGGAUAGUUUGAUUGCGUGGUUGUCACUGGAAUCCAAUACAUCAUUUGGCUUAGACAAGACUGAUGAAAUAGAAGCAGCAGUAAUUAUAAUCAAGAUGAAUAUAAUUUGAACUGUUUUGUAAGAUCUAGCAGAAGCCAUGCUUUCUCUGUGUAUAUCUAUUUCUUCUUCUCUUAACUUUCGUUUCUCUUAAAUAUAAAUAUCACGCGUUUCUAUUGACCACCAUGACAUUGUGAACAACACGAUCAUGGUAUACUAAAAAAAACUGGUGGUCCAUCAAGAUAGCAGUAGUGCUCAAGAAGCCAUCCAAAUGCAAGAGGUCAGCCCUGGAUUACCGGAAAGUUUAUCAGUUCAUUUAUAGUACUCAAGGAACCAAUCAAAGAAAAGGUCAAACCAACUCACUGACUCAACGUCUUGAAAUUUUUUCCCCUCCAAUCUCUGGCUCUCUCACUCUUUUUUUUUCUUUUUUUUUUUGGUGGUCUUUCUAUCUCUGGCUCUUCAAAGAUUCUAUAUUUUUACAGUAGCCUCUCAAAAAUCAGUAUAAUAAAUUGUAGUCCAAAGAACUUAUUUGGUUAGCUUAAAGAAUAUACACAAACAAAAUGAUUUGCAAAGUAAUGCAUAAGUUAAAGGUUCAAAGACUUGCUUCCUUGCCGACUACUGCUUGCUUAGGAAUGAUAACAGGUGGAAAUGGAAUAUAAGCUAUUACUAAGAAAUUGUUUUUGCUUGGUUUUCACUUUUGUGUAGGUCAAGUUCUUGUGGCUUGCUUAAUCUCCAGAGCUAGCUGGCUGGUCGGCGCAUUUCAUCAGUCUCAUCAGUAUAAAUCUAUUGAUCAAAUGUCAAUUUGGCUUUGCUAAUUUUUCUUUUCCUAACCUAAGAAGUCUGGGUGUAAAUACACAAAUUUCGUUGACUCCAGAUUACAAUUUCUUUGACAUUUUGUUUAGGUAAAUGCAGCUCAAUGUGCAUACAUAUGCCGACUUGAAAAUCACUGUAAUGUUUACAAUGGUAAAUUACAUAUAACUCCCAUGUGGUUUCAUCUAUUACCACAUGACCCUCCUAACGUUUCAAAAUGUCCAUUUCAUCCCCCUAUGGUUUUAUAUAAAGUGAAAAUUUGACAAAAAACAACCUAUCUAAUGUCGUUAGUUGAAAUAUCAAUAGUGCCCUAAUUAAUUAAAUGCUAAAUCAAUUGAUGGCUUAACCACUAUGUAUAAAAGCAUAGAAAAAUUAUGUGGAUAAAUGCAAAAAUCAUAUGUGGUAAAGUGGAUAUUUAUACAAAUCAUAAGAAGAUUACAUGGAUAAUAAAAUUUUAUCACAUGUGCUUUUAAAGCACAUUUGGUAUAAAUGCCACAAGUGAUUGUGCAUUUCGUCCAUUUUCCACUUUAUAUAAAACUAUAAGGGGUUAUGUGGAUAUUUUAAAACCUUAGGAGGGUCAUAUAGCAUUAUGUAAAACCAUAGAGGGUAAUAAGUAAUUUACCCUAUUUACAAUUGUUCUACUCCGUCUUGAAAUUUAAUAUUAGAUAUUAUCAUUUCCACGAUUCCAUCUUCAAGAAAUACAGCCAAUUCAUAUAGGGAAAAUAAAUCUAUCUCAGCACUUUUUUUUUUUCCAACAAACGACAACAGAUUUCAUUAAUAUUAACACUUGAUAAUACAAGUAUUAGUUACAAAAAGGGGAUACUACCCUCAUUUCUUUCAUCCCUAACUCAAUCAGCCAUAUUGGGAAGUCAUUUUCCCAUUCAAUGCUAUGCACCAAUUUAACUACAAAAUGAGCUAGUGCAUGACUGAUUUCAUUUGCUGUUCUAGAAAUAAACACAAAAGAGCACCUAUCAAAGCCUGUUCUAAGAUCCUGUACAUCCUCUAGAAUAGUUGCAAUGCUAUACUCAUAGUCACUGCUGUUACUCUAGAAUAGUUGCAAUCUUUCUCAGCACUUGCUGUUACAUGUGCCUUAGCAGAACGUGUCUUUGGCAAACAAAAAUCUGCUUUGCCGGCCUAAAUAAUUUUUAGUUUGUCAUUUUCACGGCUUCUCUUUGUUUGUGAGCUGUUAGCGAGUCUUGUUUAUGUGAUUUUGUCUUUCAAAGAAGGCUCAUGUCAUAUAAUAAACUGAGGUUGGUGACCGUAAUGUUACAUUUUUUGUUUUCUGCAUAUGCUUGGCACAUGCAAGUCUACUCAUAGAACAUUAAGCACUGAUCAUUUUCAUGCCUUAAUUAAAUUUCUUAAUCUAAUAGACAAAGGAAGACAAAUAUUGUAGUGGCUGUGGCUAGGCUCAUCUUCAACUUUCAAGAUGGAUAACAAUAGCAUUUUGCCUGUGCACUGAAGAAAUUAAAUAAAAAAAAAAAAAAAAAAGCUUCAUCCCAACACUAUUAGCCUUUCAAAGCACUGCUCUAAUUCUCCCCUACUAUGGACAAGAUCAACAUGAAGAUCAAGACAACACAACUCAUUGCAAUACUGUGGUGGGUCGUGGCGAUGACGGCCCUGCCAAUAUUGGCUCAUGGCAGCAUUGAUCAAAGUCCUGAAGCCGUCAAAAAAUGGUUCAAAGAGCUUCGACAUGCAAAGGAGAAGUUGACAGAGCUUCACUUCUAUGUUCAUGACAGGGUAACUGCAGAGAGCCCCGCAUCUGUGCUAGUUGCUCAAGCCAAUGCUACUAGCAAAUCUCCCACGAUGUUCGGGGCAACCUACGUCUUCGAUGACCCGAUGACACUGGGACCUGAGCCCAGUUCCCAGAUCAUCGGUCACGCCCAGGGCAUAUCCAGUUCGGCAUCGAAAGAGGAUGAUGCUUCACAAAUUGUCAUCAUGAACUUGGUAUUCAACGAUGGCAAGUUCAAUGGUAGCACCCUUAGCGUUCUAGGUGAUUAUCCCUUCUUCCAGAAGUACAAGGAGAUGCCAAUAGCAGGUGGUUCUGGGGCUUUUCGAUUGGCCCGUGGAUUGGUUACAGCAAUAAUCUAUGCUUACAAUGAUACCACCCAGAAUGAAAUUAUCAACUUCCACGUCCUCGUUCUUCAUUAUUGACCUUGAUUUGAUGCCAUUUGUUGCUCGUACUUUCUUGUGGUUUUCUUUGUCGUAUAACAAAGAUUUCAUGUUAAGGAUAUAAUCCUUGGAUGAUACAAGAAGUAUUGAAGGUUUUUUUGUUUUUUCGUUUUCACUUCUACAGUUCUGCUUGUUUGGUCUCUUUGUUGAUAAUGUUGAUUUUCAAGUAAUAAAGAAAGCUUUUCCUUCUCUUUCUCCAUUAAAUUUUUCUUUUGGCACUUCUUACUUUUCCUUUUGUUUUAAAAAAAUCUAGUAUUUUUUUUUCCUUCUCUACCUUCAUUGCUUGUUUCAUGCUUCUAAAAGCUUAUUUUCCUUAAUAUUUUCUUAUUUCGUUUUCUUUCCUAAACGCAAUGAUAGUAAGGCGCUUAAUUGGGAUUUUUUUUAAUCUAAUUUCUCUAUCAAUAUUUCCUAUCUAAUUUCAUACUAAGGGUGCAUGUGAUAAAACUGAAGUUUGAAAUCUAAAAUGUGAAGUUUGAAUCCAUUAAGUUAUUGAAUUGUUAAUUAUUAAAUUUAAUACAUUUGAGUGCAUAUCACAUUCAAUGAUAAGUGAAUAGUUUAACACUUAAUUUUAAAAGCAAAUUUUGCCUAAGAAAUUUAGUGUCAUUUAAUUUAGUUCAGAUGUUCAAUUUUUUAUUAUCAAACGGUGUAAAUAUAUUAAGAUCUGAAUCUAUUAACUUUAAGCACUGAAUUGGAUUAGCAAACAGGGUCUAAGUCAUCAGCUUUUCAUUUCUCAUUAGUCUUUUUGCUUGUCCCUAUUCUCGAUUACAAGUUCUACUUUCAUCAGAUGAAAGGGGCCAAAAUAAUAAAAAACUGCAACUCCAAUCCUUUCAUUAAAAAGGCAAAUCUGAAGCUGCAAAGAGUCUUGCAAAAGGUAGAAUCCACAACUUGAUGGCAAAGAAUCAAAAUUCUAAGGAAUAGGACGUUAGGUGGUGAAAAACUUUUACAAGGCAGAUAAAAGGCAAAAGAAACCAAAAAUACCACAUACUUAUUUUGCAUCAGAGUCAUCCUAUCUUUACAAAUCCUCUUUUUUUUGAAAAAUGUUACACAACUCUUUUCUAAUCUAAGUUACUUCCCGGUUCCCAACUUAGAUCCUUUCCAAUCUUUAGCGGUGCCCAUGUCUCAUGCUCGGACAAAAUUCGCCUCGACAGGCCACUUCUCCUCUGCCUAUCCUGCAUGCUGAUGGUCGUUGGAAUCUUCAUCCAACCACUCGACCUUGCUCCCCAGGCUACUCGAGGAAAUUGAAUUGGAUUCACACCCUGCUUCUGAUCGGAUCAGUACGAUAAACAACUUUGUAUUAUCAAUCAUAUAUCAUCUUACAGGUGGUGUAAUUAUGGGCAAUCUCACCAAUGUGGGAUUUUACAUUUAUCUGAAGUCAUAUCCACUUGCUUGUCCUCUUUUUUCGACUUUGGAAACAGUUGUAAAUAUAUACAGGAGUAAAAUUGACAAUGCGGGGGCUUUGGAUGCUUCUGAUCUAUCAAGUUGUUCUCAGAUUUUUAUCGUAAACAUCGGGAUAUGAAGAGGGGUUGAUUGAGAAGAACAGGAAGAGGGGACGACAUUAGUAUAAUAGUAAGAAAGAAUAUUUCUUAUUAGACUUGGCUGAAACUUAAUUUCAGCCAGUCAUACUAGAAUAUCCAAAGCGCUCUUCUCGAAUCGCUCUAGUACGAUGGAAAGAUGUGUUAGGUAUUUUCAAAAUUUGAUCAGUUGCAAGAAGGGGCAUCUUAGGAUCUGACAUAAGAUCCAUCACUGUCUGGUUCCUACAAUGCUCAGAAGUUGUUCAAGUCUACUUGACACAUUUUCAUAUUUUUGAUAGUUAACUACUAUCUAAAUAGUGUUUAAACAUCCAAAAACUAUGUGAGCACUUGCAUUGAUAUUGAGGAACAUUUUGACCAAUACAAAUACACAAAUCAGCGGUGAAAGGUUGCAACUCUUGGUCAUUUCAAUCUCAACUACAUAAAUGUCUGGUAGGGAUGGUUUGCUGUAGAAGAUCAAUUUCCUACUACUAGAAUUCUCUGCAAAAACACAUCAUAGUUUAAGUAAGUUUAUCUAACUUUGUGCAAGAGUUAAGACAAAACACCUUUCAAAUUAUUUUAAAGGAUAUUUGUCCAAAACCUUUGCAUACAAAAUUUUGGAUAAAUAAAGUCUAAAGAAAAGUGAUCUUGAGUCACGAUUUGAAGUCUUUUUGUCUCACUUUGUAACUUUUAGUCAUUUUCUCCUAUAUUAUCCCCAACAAGAUGGAUCCACCGGAGAAAAUGCAAAAUGAUAGAAUUGUUCGCCCCUCCACGCCUUCCACGGUCCAUUUUCAUUCUCUUCCCUGCCGGAGAGGUGGAUAAAUAAGGUAGCUUGCUUGUCCUCUGGCGGCUUAUGUCAUCUGCUUGAAGGAUAUUGAGAAAGCUUACUUACCACAAAUAAGAAAUUGUAUAAGAAUUGAAUUCUAAUGCUAGGUGGACAAGGCCAUACAACUAGAAAACGUUGAAAAAUACGAAGUCCUCCAAAAAGUUGGGAUCUCGUGUCUUUGCUUAUCUGCCUUUGUUUUCUUCUACCUGUCUCAGUAAUAGAAGUCAUAUUUGAAGUAUUUGAAAUUUGUUCUAACAAUUUUCUUCACAUUGAGUUCAAGAAUAGAUUAUAUCAUGGUAGGAAACUACUUCAUUUUUUAUCUAUUAAAAUAUUAUUUGAUACCACUAGACAAAGGCACUGUAUAUGGCAUUUCAUUUUUUAUCUAUUAAAAUAUUAUUUGAUACCACUAGACAAAGGCACUGUAUAUGGCAUUUGAUGCAGGAUUGUUGCAUCUCCAAAGUUCACAAGAAGGUUACAGUUUACACCAAUCAUAUGAACAUGCAUAUAGGACUUCUCUCUCUAAAAAUGAGAGCGUCUCUCUCUAAAAAUGAGAGUUCCCCUCCUCGGUGUAGGAGCAAACACCUUCCUUUUAACUUUCGCACCACUUUCCACCAUCCGUACCAAAGUCCGCCUAGCUUUUGAAACUUUUUGAAAUUCAAGAACGCAAUUUGUAAAAAAGCAUCCGAGCCAAAUUUGGGGAAAUCCUGGAAAGAUUCAUGCUGGGAUCACCAAGGAAGUUAGAAAGCAUCGGAGAAGCUUCAGCCUAACAGUUGCGUAGUAGCUCCCCUUUUCUUUUGUUUUCUUCUUUUUCUUCGGACCUUCGGUUUUUUCCUUUUGGUUUUCUGUUGGUUUCCACCUGAUAAAAAGGAGUAGGAAGCUCAUAUGGUCAGCAUAUAACCCAUGGAAGUCCAGAACUCUAAUUAAGGGAAGUGGCGUCUUUCUCUGUUUUUUUCUUCUUCUCAUUCCGGUUUUUUUUGCUCUGUUUUUCAGCUUUGUCUGUUUUCUUCUUAUAGUCUAACGUCCUUUUUAGUUUUGUGCUCCUGUCUAUCAUCUUGUAGACCCAGGUGAAAGAGUCGUUUGUUCAUACGGAUAUAGUACUGGGAACUCAGUGUGGUUUUGGGAGGAUGGAGGAAGUAUUAGCAAAGGCCUUACAAAGAUUUGAGCUAUCGGAAAAGGAAGUGGGGGGAAUAGACUUAAGCAAUGAUGAUGUAGAACAGAGUGUGCAGGAUUGUAGAGGAAGCAUGGUAGGAAGACUUAUGGGAAACAUGAUAGCAAACUUUACUGGGGUGAAAAUUUUCACCAACCACGUUUGGGGCUAUCCCAGAAACUUAUGAGUUACUGAGAUAGGCCCAAAUGUGUUCCAGUUUCAGUUUGAAAGGGAGGAAGAUAGGGAAAAAGUGUUGGCAGGAGGCCCUUGGAUCUUGGACAACCAGGUUCUAGUUGUACGAGAGUGGUGUGCAGGCUUUGAAAAAAGAGUUGAGAGCUUUAGGUACACCAGUUUCUGGGUUCAAAUAUGGAACUUACCGGUACAUUGGAUGAGUAAUGCAGCAGGAAAGAAAAUAGGGGGAGUGUUUAGGAAGGUGAAGGAGGUUAUACUACCACCAGGGGGUGGAAAGGAAGGGAGACACAUGAAGAUAUUUGCAGAGAUAGAUUUACUACAGCCACUGGUUAGAGGGACAUUAGUGAAGCUUAAUGGAAAGAUGGUAUGGAUAGAAUUUAAAUACGAAAGAUGCCCAGACUUCUGUUACAAGUGUGGUACUAUAGGUCAUGGAGAUAAGAAUUGCAGAAUGGAAAUGAGGUAUAAUUCAUCUCACAGGGAGGCACAAUUUGGACCAUGGAUGAGAGCAGGAAACAUAAUGGUGUCUCCUCUUAGGAGUGAGUAUGGAAGGAAUCUGAAUCCAAAGGGGCAAGCUAAUAUACAAGAGGGGGUAGGUGCAGGAGGAAAAAAGGGGGAUGGGUUGGGGGAGAAAAUGUUACAGAAAGAGAUAAUGGGACCAAGAGAAGAGGGUGGGGGAAGAGAAGGGAAGAAAAAAGAGGAAACAAGCAGGCAAGAGGAAGUGAGGGGACAGGCACUAGUUAUAAGUGACAUGGUAGGGAAAGAGAGGGAGGCAAGUAGAACUGAGGAGAGGAAGGGCUUUCAGGAUAAGGGAAAGGGAAGACGGGUUCAGGAGAUGGAGGAUAAGAUAGGGGAGAUGAAAGGUCACAUGGAUUUUGAAAUGCAGGUAAGCGAGAUUGAACAUACAAUGCUGGAAAGGCCAACAAAUAGAGCGACCUUACAGCAGGCAAGCAUAAAGGAAUGUCAGGAAAACAAGAGUCAGCUAAUUUCUGUGAAGGUGGAAGACAAAGGGUAGCAACAAAGAGGCUUCCACAGGAUCAAAAGAAUCCCAUUAGGACAGAUAAAAGACGACACUCAGGUGGGGAACAAGGAGGUAAAAGGAAGAAGUCUAGAGUAAAUGAGGAGAACGAGCCAACGGAAGAGGAUGAAGAGAAUGAACCACCAUAGAAACAAGGGAGAAGGAAAAACCAGAAAAUGACUAAAAUAAGGGAACUGGAGGCAAUCCCAUCAAAGCCUCCACAGCGCAAAUGAAGGUUCUGGUGUGGAAUUGUCGAGGUGUGGGAGGACCUUGACAAUUCCCCAACUAAAGGAGGUGAUUAAUCUCCACUUUCCAAGUGUUAUCUUUCUGGCUGAGAUAAAAAAAUUAGAAGAAAAUUAUAGAAAAUGUACAAAAACAGCUAAAGUUCGACCAUUGCUAUGUGGUAUACUCAAAUGGAAGGGCAGGAGGGUUGGCAAUGCUGUGGAAGGAAGAAGUAGAAGUGGUGAACAUUAAACAGGAGAGUUUCCUCAUAGAACUGAAAAUAAAUGAUAAGAAGUUAGGGAACGAAUGAUGGUUGGUCGGAAUCUAUGCUAGCACAGAUGAGAAAACAAGAAAAGAACAGUGGAAAAAGAUAGAGGAAAAAAAGAGGGAGUGGAGGGAAUAUUGGAUUCUAGUAGGGGACUUUAACGAUAUAAGAGGUGGAGAAGAAAAAUGGGGAGGGAGAGGGAGACAAGAAGGUAGUUGUAAGGAGUUUAACAGAUUCAUUAAGGAAAAUGAGUUGGUAGAUAUAUGAUUUGAAGGGAAACCAUGGACAUGGUGCAAUCAAUGGGAAGGAGAGGGAGAAGUAAAAGAGAGAUUGGAUAGAUGCCUUGCAAGUGUUAACUGGUAUCAAAUGUUUAAAGGAACUAUGUGUAACCACUUAGAAAAUGAAGCAUCAGAUCAUAGCAUGCUCUUACUGGAUACAAACCCCGAUCAGAGAAAGGUAAAAAAAAGGUUCUACUUUGACCAGCGGUGGGUCAAGAAUGGGGAAAUCAGAGAGGUGAUUGAAAGAGUUUGGGGUUCGGAGCAUCAAGGUUCAAGAAUGUUUAAGGUGACAAGAAAGAUAAGAGAGUGCAGAAUGGCUUUGUUAACAUGGAAGAGAAAUAACAGCUUGAACUCAGGAAGGCAGAUUAUGGAGUUAAAAGAGAAAAUUCAGGAAUUAAAGGUUAGCAACAAUUUAGAAAAGAGGGGCCAAAUUACAGAAUUGAAGUUGCAGCUUAGUACAGCAUACAGAGAGGAAGAGCUAUAUUGGAGUCACAAGGCUAGGACACGGUGGUUACAGGAAGGAGACAAAAACACUGCAUUCUUCCAUGCGAGUGUCAUGGCGGCGAGAAAACAAAGGAAAAUCACUUGCCUGCAGAAGGAUAAUGGACAAUGGUGUAAGACGGAUCAGGAGCUGAGGGAGGAGAUAUGUAGAUAUUACAACCAGAUCAAAUAGAGGAAACACUGCAAGGGGUUCCCACUACUAUAUCUAGACAGAUGAACGAACACUUGAUCCGACCUGUGGGGGAACAAGAGAUACACAGAGCACUCUUCUCUAUGCACCCUAAUAAAUCGCCUGGGACAGAUGGUAUGUCUCCACUUUUUUUCAAAAAUACUGGCAUAUUGUUAGGAUAGAUGUGGUGAAUGCAGUGGUGAGUUUUUUUCAUACUGGCAACAUGCUGAAAGUUGUGAAUGAAACUUUGAUAACUUUGAUUCCUAAGGUAGAAAAUCCAAUCAACUUGACCCAGUACAGACCUAUUAGCUUGUGCAAUACUCUUUAUAAAAUCAUUUCAAAAGUGCUAGCAAAUAAGCUUAAAGUCGUGUUGAACAAAUGCAUUAGUGAGACCCAGUCUGCCUUUGUUCCGAGUAGACAAAUUGUUGAUAAUGUUCUUAUUGCUCAUGAAGUGAUGCAUUUUUUGAAAAAUAAACGAAAAGGAAAGGUUGGUUUCAUGGCUAUUAAGCUUGAUAUGUCUAAAGCCUAUGACAAGGUUGAAUGGAAAUUCAUAGGAAGAAUGAUGGUGAAUAUGGGCUUCUGUCCUAUUUUUGUUAGGUGGAUCAUAUCUUACAUAUCCUCAGUUUCUUAUUCUUUCAAUCUUAAUGGAGCUAAGGUGGGUUACAUAAAACCUAGUAGAGGAUUAAGACAAGGGGAUCCCCUUUCCCCUUACCUUUUCCUAAUUUGUGCAAAAGGUUUGUCCCAUUUGAUAAACACAAAGGUUGAAAAAAAGAUGAUGACAGGAAUCAAGGUGAGCAAGAAUAGUCCACAAAUAUCACAUUUGUUUUUUGCAGACGAUUCUUUGAUUUGCUGCAAAGCUACGGUCCAAGAGACUUAGCAGGUACAAGAGGUGCUAAACAGCUAUUCAGUGGCUUCUGGACAGUUAGUGAACUUUGAAAAAUCAGCCGUGUACUACAGUAGGAACACCCUAAGGACAAAGAGAGCAGCCAUCUGUGAAGUAAUGGGGAACUUAAAAGAGGCAACCAAUGGCAGAUAUCUGGGACUACCAAUGGCCAAGUGUUUGGCUAUAUCAAAAGUGCAGUCACCAAAAAGAUGAAAGGUUGGGCAAACAAAAUGUUAAGCAUGGUUGGGAAAGAGGUACUUAUAAAGUCAGUCAUACUAGCGAUGCCAAACUAUGCCAUGGCGUGUUUCAAAUUGCCAAAAGGACUGUGUGUGGACAUUUGCAAGAGUAUAGCCAAUUUUUGGUGGGGAAGUAGUGAGCAAGAAAGAAACUUCAUUGGGUUAGUUGGAAGAAACUAGCCGAUGUCAAAGGAAGAUGGGGGCUGGGAUUCAGGGAUUUAGAUGCUUUUAAUAAAGCUUUACUUGCUAAGCAACUCUGGAGAAUUAUUUGCUCUCCAAAUCUGCUUAUGAGUAAAGUAAUUAGAGGCAAAUACUUAAAAGAUCACAAAUCCCUGGACAACCACCCUCCCAACUCAGCGUCCUGGGCUUGGAAAAGCAUACACAAAGCAUGGGAAUUAUUGGAAGAAGGCCUAUGGAAGAGAGUAGGAGACGGAACACAGAUCAAUAUAUAGGAGGAUAUAUGGGUGAUAGGAUCAGCGACAGGACGAACCUCAACAACUUGUCCCCCAAAUUGCCACUUACAUACAGUCAGCCAGCUCAUCAGUGAAGAAAGAUGGAAUGAGGAGAUUUUACAGCAAGUUUUCAACCGAGAAGAGAGGGAACACAUAACUAGUAUACCUCUCAGUGUGUUUAAAAGACAAGAUAGAUAUUUCUGGAAUUUUGCGAAAUCUAGAAUCUAUACAGUCAAGACAGGUUAUGCGAGAGCUAUGCAGGCCAGCAAUACAGUAAAGAGUAGACAAAAGCUGGAGGGGAAAACAAGCUGGGAGAUAAGGAAGCAUAGUGUUUGGAAACAACUUUGGAACCUGAACUUAAAGCACAAAAUCAAACACUUCAUCUGGAAGUGUUUGCAGAAUGGUAUAGUUGUGAAUGAUGAUAUCUACAAAAGAACUGGAAAAGGGGAUAAGGUCUAUACAAUUUGUGGAGAAGGUGAAGAAACAGCUGAACACAUGUUUUCAAUUGCCUAAGAACACAACUGGUGUGGAAAAUAGCACCGGUUAGAUGGGAGGAGCUGAGAGACUUACAGAGCAAUUUGUGGAGAUGGUGGGAGGCGGUUGCUCAAACAGGUUCAAAGGAGUUAGGGACGGAACAUAUAGUUUUGACAGCGAAUAUUCUAUGGCAAAUCUGGAAAGCACGGAACAAGAUGGUUUUUGAACAGCAAAGGAGUGGAGCAAAUGAUGUAGUCCAGAGAGCACAGCAAGAAUGGCUCGAGUACGAUGAUGUGUGGCAGCAGGAAGGGGCAAUCAAACAGAAUGAAAGGGCUGGGAGUCAGAUGGAACAGGUGAUGGUACCACGAGCUGAAGGAGUCAUCCGAAUCAGUACGGAUGCAGCACUCAACGCAAGGAUGAUCAGAACAGGAAAAUGAAUCGUGGCACGGCAUUGGACAGGAGAGAUAAUAAGAGCUAAAGGAGUAGUAGAAUGGACGAAAGGUGAAGCUCUAAUGGAAGAAACAUUAACCAUUAGAUUAGCUCUCCAAAUGGCACGGGAAGCCGGCUGGAGGAAGAUAGCUAUCCUAUCAGAUUGCAAGACGGCCACAGAUCACAUUAGAUGCAACAAUGUACAAGAUGGGACUCUAGCAAACAUCUUGGAAGACAUUGCGGAUCUAAUACAGGUUUUUGACUACUGCACAAUAUCUUGGGUGCCUAGAACAUUGAAUAUAGCAAGUCAUAGGCUAGCACUUUUUGCAUCAAAACUAGUUAAUGACAUCGAUUGGGAAGGUGACUUUCCAUGUUGGCUGAUAGAAGCCAAUAGAUUAGAUGAACGGGCUGUUGCCCCUUUUGUAAGUAUUCCUUGUAGUAUCAAGUGUUAAUAUCUAUAAAAGCUAAUAUCGUUUGUAGAAAAAAAAAUAUGAGCAUGCAUAUAAAUAGAACAUUUAUUACUAUUUUUUCAAGGGCUAAUUACAAUUUACCCCAUGUGGUUUAGUGUUUUAUUACAUAACUCCUUAUAGUUUCAAAAACUAUACAUAACCCCUCAUGGUUUAGAUUAAAGUGUCAAAGUGACAGAAAUUACAAUCCAUAACGGAGUCAACUAGAACAUUGAAUAUAGCAAGUCAUAGGCUAGCACUUUUUGCAUCAAAACUAGUUAAUGACAUAGAUUGGGAAGGUGACUUUCCAAUCUAUAAACGGGCUGUUACCCCUUUUGUAAGUACUCCUUGUAGUAUCAAGUGUUAAUAUCUAUAAAAGCUAAUAUCGUUUGUAGAAAAAAAAAAUAUGAGCAUGCAUAUAAAUAGAACAUUUAUUACUAUUUUUUCAAGGGCUAAUUACAAUUUACCCCAUGUGGUUUAGUGUUUUAUUACAUAACUCCUUAUGGUUUCAAAAACUAUAAAUAACCUCUCAUGGUUUAGAUUAAAGUGUCGAAGUGACGGAACUUACAAUCCAUAACGGAGUCAACUAUAAUUUCAAAAAUACCCCUAUAUAAAGUUAAAAAUUAUUUAUUAACCACACGGGGUUAUGUAUAUAUAUUAAAAAUCAUAAGGGAGUUAUAUGGUAAAUCACUAAAGCAUGACAGGGAUUAUAUGGUAAAAUAUAAAAUCAUAUAGGGUUAGAAUGUCAUGCAUAUUAUUUUUAUAUAUUUUGGUCAUUUUAGUUUUAAAACAAAGGUAAUUUCGAUAUUUUCAUAGGUUCCGUUAUAGAUGAUCAUUUUUAUCACUUUAGCUUUUAAAACUAGUGGGAGGGUUACAUAUAAAUUAGUUAUACCACAGAGGGAUAAAGUAUAAUUUGCCAUUUUUUCAAAUAAUGCUAGAUGAUUGCCACCGGAAGGUGUUAAAAGCUUGAAAAAAAAAAUUGUCGACAGAUGAAAAACCAAAAAGACUUGACCACCACGCCAAGAUCACGCGUGAACAUCCAAAUCAAGGAGAAAUUUCUAAAAUUAUUAUGAUUUUUAAAAAAAAUUCUACAAAGGGGGUAUUUUGUGUACUGGUUUCUGUUUUUGGAGUCUUCGCAUUCAUCAAAUGUGAGCUCAAGGAACUCGCAUUUGAUGAUUGCGAACUCUCCUUAAAUUUUCUACCACCGAAAUUAAAAAAAAAUCAAAAAAAAACCGACCUCGCAAUUCACAAAUGCGAGUUAUAUGUACCUCGCAUUUCUGAAAUGCGAGGUCAUGUACCUCGCAUUAAACCACAAAACCUCCGUUGUCCAGUGGGCGCUGCAAGCUGCAAUUUUACAGUUAUGAUUAUUGCUAGUGAUCAAGUAUUCACUAUGUACCUAUGUUGUUUGCUUUCCAAUAACAGGAUUCCAGAUUUUGCCUAAAAAUUUUUCUUUUUGCUUCAGUUGUAAUGCCAUUUUCUCUUGCUUUAUGAAUUCAUUGCAAAUUGUAAAUGCAAUGCAAAUUGCUACAAAUUUUACUACUUAAGUCUCUAAAUUCAUCACAACUGGAAAAAAAAAAAAAAAAAGAUCCCAUAAUAUUGACAUCAAUAGUUGAUAAUAAUUUGGGGGAAUAAAUCUUAACCAAUCUAGCAAGCUUUUUGGUUGGACUUUAUCUAGCAUCCGAUAAAUACGAAUUCCUAGAAAAUUGCAUAAAAAAAUUCUAAUAAUUUUUAAAUUUGUUUAUUUGUUAAAUUCAUUCUUAAUAAUUUACCAUAAACUCUUUGUUGUUAAAAAAUAUAUGUAGCUGAUGUUGUAAAGUGUAUUAAUCUAGUACGUCAACAAUUUUUGCAAAGUGCAUUAAUCUAGUAAUUCAAUAAUUUAAGUAUCUAUAAACUAAUUGAGAAUUCGUAGUUACUCAACUACUUAUAUUAAAAGUAACAUAUUAUAUACCACAUAAAAAAGAAAAGUUAGCAAUUAUUAUUUAUAGUGAAAUAAAAAAUAAGAAUGAACAAGAAUAGUAUUUUAUUAUUUUGUUAUUGAUACUACUAAUAAUUGAUUAAUCAAUUUCUCUAAUUUGCUAUUAUGUAGUGGAAAAGUUAAAUUUCUUAAAUGACAUUUAUAAUACAUUUAUAAAUAGUUGUAAAUAAAUGUAUUUAUGUAUUGAUAAAAAAAUCUGUAAAUGUAUAAAUGUAUUAUAUUAUAUAUAAUACGUAAUAUAAAUAUAUUUAUAAAUGUAUAAAUUAUAAAUCAAUAUUAUAUAAAUCUAUAAAUUAUAAUUUAUAAAUAUAUAUUAAUAUUAUGUAUAAAUGUAUAAUUAAUAUUAUUUGUAAUUAUAAUUUUUAUUGUUUAAAUAUUUAUAUACAUUUAUGCAUUUAUAGCAUCAAAACUUAACUAAUGAGAGGGAUUUAUUCAUACUCCAUUUUAUUUUAAUAGUGAAAACGCCUUUUUACGCGAAAAUCGACAUUUUUAGGUGAAGAUUCCUGGUUACUCAACAUUUCACUUAUUCAAAUUGCUAAGCAUACUCUUAAUUCCGAUACUUUUUUACGCGAAUGUCGACAUUUGUAGAUGCCAACCCCGGUUACUCGGUAUGUGAAUCAUUGGAGUAGAAGAUUAAUAUAUAUAUUUUUUCGCUCUCUCUUUUUUUUUUUUUUUUGAAAUGAUUUCUUUUCCCUCUAACAUCAUUAAAGGAAGAAUUUAGUCUUGUUUUGACUAUAUCAAUCACUUACUUAUAAAAUUAAGUGAAAAUGAGAAAUAUCAUUAACCUUGCAAAUUUGUAAGCAUAAUUUUUCUUAUUUAACCGAAUAUACUUUCUAAGCAUAAUAAUUCUUUCCAAACAAAAUAAGGACUAAACCUUCCACAAUACAUAUAGCAUUCUAUCCAAUGGAACAGUUUGAGCACUUACAAUGUGAACAUUUUGGCCAUUAAUAUUGGAAACUAUUUUUAGAAAAAUUUUGACAGAGUUCCCCAUAAAAAUGGACAAAACUCCCUGCCAACAACCUCAAGACAAUAUUUCCAAAUAAAAGUUUAAGCCAUAGACAAUCAAAUUCAUGCAUUUCAAGACACAAUCACCACAAAAUGUAUGUAAUCCGUCCCCCACACUUAAAAUCUACAAUGUCCUCAUUGUAGAGGAAGGUACAAGAAAACAAAACUUCCCACUUGGUAAGUGGUAAUGCAGUUUCAAGCCCUUAAUCCUCACGACCAUCCAAAUUCAGUCAUGCUUGAAACAGCAAGGGUACUAAACAGUAUAAGUAGUACAAGAAAAUCCAAUAAGAAAACUACAAAGUUUGAACCGAACACAAUAAAAGAAAAAUAAAGCAAUAAAAGAUGGAAUCCUCGAAAGGUCUUCAUGACUUCGCAGAACGAGGGUCUACUACCUCCUCAGCUCCCUGAGAUGUACUACUAGGCCCCUCCUCUUGAUGAGGGGUAGGAGUAGGUGAGCGGUGAAUGUGGAAAUGAUCUUCCAUCGCUCGAAGACGAUGAUCCUGUCUGUCUAGUCGCUCAGUCAUCAUCCGCUCGGUCUGGUCAAUGCGCUCCAUGACACAUGUCUCCAUGCAGCAUAUGGCAUUGAGGAUCUCUUGCAACUUGGAUCGCGGCGGAGGCGGUGGUCGUGGAGUGGGAGGAGGAAGGGUCUGCUGUGCCUCCGUCUCUUGAGCUUACUCUUGUUGUUCAGUGUGAGGUGGAGGCUGAGUGGAGGUCGAAGCUUCUCCUGUGUCCCGAACUAGAGCAGCUCCAAAAUCCGUAGGAAUGCCUAAAGCCUUGAGUAUAGAGGCAUUGACCUCUUCAGCAGACCGAGUCACCACUGCUCGUUCGGUUCCAAGAGGAACCUUGAGCUUCUCAACAAUGAGGGAGAGGAGACGGGGGAACCCGAAACAUGUAUCACCGGUCCUUAUGCAAGCUGUGGUUCUCAUGUAACUGAUAAUGAUGCUGGGCAGAGGAAUUCCAGUCAUAUGAUUACCUAUACCAUGCAUCAUUUUAUCGAGGAAGUAUAGGUCACUGUUGCAGAGCUCCCGUUUUUCACUCCGUUUUGGUACCACAUUGAAGGCAAAAAGAUAGAAAAUCAGGUAUGCUCGAAGGAAUCGGCAUAUACGGUGAGCUUUUUCGAACUUUCUCGCUCACGGUAUUGACCCUUAAGACGUGCCACAGCUUCUCCCACUUGCCACUUGCCAUGGGUCACGUGCCUUGAACUCCUUAGUCAAUUUGAUAUCUUCUCCUGAGUCUUUGAGUUUGGCCCACCUGUUAACUUUGUCUCGAGUGAGAGCCACUCGUUUGCCUCGGACCCAAGAUUCGAUCAGAUUGCCACUAUGGCUCUGUUUGUCUUCCACAUUGGCAUAAAACUCUCGAAUCAGGUUAGGAUAGUAAUGCUUGGGCAACUUGAGUAUGUCCUCCCAACCAAGUCGCUUGAAGGCCGUGGAGAUCUUGUAAUGGUCAUCCACCUCCGGCGCCAAAGUGCUUCUCAACUAUUAUUUCUUUGUCUAAACCGGCUUCGUACCACUGCUGAUUCUCGAUUGAUGUGAAACGUGUGGUAUCGUAGUCCGGAGGUGGUUCGUCACGACUGGUAGAUGCCGUCUUACGCCUAAAACGAGGUGGGGACUGAGGAGAAGGGGAUUCCUCUUCAGGCGACUCCUCUUGUAAAGAGGGUGUAUGUUCCUCACUCGAUGAAGGUGUAGGAGUGCGAAUCACUGUCCUUCGUGUGUGAGCCAUGAUGCCUGGAUUACAAACAAGAUUCAACACAAAUUAGAAGCAAUACAAAACAUAACAAACACAAUUGUCUUAAUGAGUUAAGAAAAUUUCGGCAGAGUUUCCCCUUGAAAAAGGGCUAAACUUCCUACCAGCUGUAUCCAAAAACAAGCACAGAACCUGCUUAAAUCAUUUUAGAUACAGUGGUGGGCAUGUAUAAUAUGAAUUUCAAUCCUCAUUGUCAACACAUGGUUUGAACAAUCCACUUUUCGAAUUUGUGAAUCCCAUCUUUCAAUUAGAAGCUCAUUUAAAAGUCCAAUCUCAUGAGAAUUGAUGCAUAUUUCAACAAUAGAGUAUAAUCUCCAAGUGAGUAUGGCCUAUUAAUUAAUACCAAAUUACGAACUAAUGAGCUAGCAUUCUUCUUUAUGAGUGCCAAUUAUCUCUAAGAAUAAGGAAUAUUCAAUCAAAAAUUUCACAUGCUUAAGCUUAAAAGUUUAGAAAAAUAAACAAACAGAUGACUAUAAUAACAAUUUUGUCAAUUUUAAGCUUACAAGUAGUUGACAUAGAGAAGUAAGUUCAUGCAUUUAAGAGUUCAUGCGCAUAAAGCUAAAAAUUAAGAAGGAAAAGCUACACAAUAAUACCAAAUCCACAAAUCCAAAAAACCAAGGAUUAAAAUAGUUGUAACAAUCUAUUUAAACAUAAUGUAGCACAAUUCUAAAUAAAAAUUACAACAAUUAAACAAUUACCAAAAUAUUCACAAAAAUUAAAAAAUAAUGAAAACUAGUACGUGCCUUAAAUUGCAAAUAAAGUUGUAAAUUGUUACCUCAACUGUGUUCAAUGAUGGAGGAAGAUGAUAAAGAUGCAAAAAGUGAAACAUAAACGACCCAAAUUAGUCCCCAAAUUAAAGAAAUGGAUUUCGGCCCUAAGUUUUUGUUGAAGAUCAAAACACCUCAAAUUUAUGUUUUUGAUUCUAGAAAACUCAGGGUUUAAGCUCAAAAGAGGUUGAGAAAUGGUUUUAUGAUGAAAAAGCAGAUGAUAAUUGGUCGAAGUGGAAGAUUGGUGAGGGUGGGGAAGGGUUUCGGUUAGAGAAAAGAGAGAAAACUGAAAAAAAAUGAGGAACCGAGCCCGCGGGUGAAUUCAUAUCGUGAACAAAUUCGAGGUCGGAUCUAACUGAGUUUUGUUGGAUCCGAGGUCGUAUUCACAAUGUUCAGGUUUUGAGUUCGACAGAUCCGACCUGUCGAACUCAAAACCUGAACAUUGUGAAUACGACCUCGGGUUUGUUGGUCGGAUCUGUUUUAUCAUCCCUCUGAUCGAAAGGGCUCGGAUCAUCUAUUGCGGUAGUUCAGACGAGCCCUCGGAUCUAUUCGAGUUUUGUUGGAUCCGAGGUCGGAUUCAUAAUUUUCAGAUUUUGAGUUCGACAGAUCCGAGGUCGGAUCUGUUUUAUCAUCCCUCGGAUCUGAAAGGGCUCGGAUCAUUUAUUCCGGUAGUUCGGACGAGCCCUCGAAUCUAUCCAAGUUUUGUUGGAUCCGAGGGCGGAUUCACAAUUUUCAAAUUUUGAGUUCGACAGAUCCGAGGUCGGAUCUGUUUUAUCAUCCCUCGGAUCCGAAAGGGCUCGGAUCAUCUAUUUCGGUAGUUCAGACGAGCCCUCGGAUCUAUCCGAGUUUUGUUGGAUCCGAGGUCGGAUUCACAAUUGAAAGCCAUGGGUUCCAAUGAUCCAAGCGCGGAUCCUUUUUUGGAUCCGAGCUCGGAUUGUUUCGUUUCUGCAUCAUUUGCAGAAACUGCAAUUUUUUUCAAACUUUUUCUCCCAUUUUCACCAAAUUUCGAAAUACACAUUUGACAACCUGUUCAUCAAAUCUAACCCCCCACACAAGUGUAAUAUACCAAAAACACAAUAUCCAACCUAUCAAAACACAUCAAACAUAUCCACAUUGCAAAUCAAGGGGUGAGGUUCUUUGAUCUUUUUUACACAUUUACACCAAAAUGACACCUUUAGGUCCCGUAUGCACAUUGAAUGAGUCCAUGAGCAAUUAUAAACAUGUUAUCACCGGAACUCACUUGAACAUUCAUGAAAUGCACAUUGUAUAUGCUCCAUGAAUAUAUAUAUAUAUAUGUUUAUAUAUAUACAUCUACUAUCUUUUGAAAAAAUUUUGACAGAAUCUCCCCUUAAAAGUGGACUAAACUCCCUGCCAGCAAAUCCAAAAUAGACAACAUUUAAUCUAAACAAUAUUUCCGACAACUUGUCCAAAUACAAAACACAAAACUACUACAAGUCCCACACAUUUUUCUCCCCUACACUUAGAAUAAUAUUCAUAACAGGAGCACACAAUUAGAGUUUUGAAUAUCAAUGAUGUCCAAGUUUUUCAUGAGUGCCACAUCCUCUGGGUUUGUGUGCUCUUUGUGUGCGACGUGGCUGGGCUGGCAUCACCAUAUCGACUUGCGUAAUCUGUGACUCAAGUCUUUGAUCAAGUGCUUGGGUACUUUGGCCUGCAUCUGUACCUCCCACAUGUUGUUCACCACUGCCAUGAUGCUCAUCUGUAUUGGGCGUAAACUCCUCCAUAAGUACUGAGGACCUAAAAUGACCAAUAGGUCCCGUAGAGGUGCCCUGGUGCUCAGUAGCCUGUGACCUUCCAUCAAAUCCAGUUUGGACGGUGGGUUCUGGUGAUCGGAAUCUACGACGGCGUCCACCGCCAUGCUGACCUCCGUGAACAUUCUUAGGAGCUCUUUCAACGCGACGGGGGUCAGCUGGCAGUGGAAUUUGCUGUGGCACUCGUGGAGGGCGAAAUGCAAGUCGGGAUGACUCCCCUACAGUUUCUAAUGUCAUUGAUGCAAAGUCCUUCAUUGCAUUAAAAUAAUUCGCGUGCUGUUCGUCACUCUAUGUUAGAGAGGUCUCUGCCAUGUAAUACACCUGAGCCAUAGCAUCCAUCUGGAGUGCAAAUAUUUGAAUGAAUAAGGAUUAAUAGAGUUAAAUCUAUAUCGACAACUUGUCCGGGAAUCUAUUUCACUAGUUGUAAGGAAAACUUACCAGAUAUUAUGCUCUGGCGCUAUCACCCUGAAAGCCCUCCGGAAAAAUGAGUUGCAUAGUAGGAUUUGAAACAUAUAGCACUGUCCGCUCGCGAUACCACUGUCGAUACUCAUCGGAUGGAUAUGUAGGAUCUUCAACUACAACACCAUCUUCCACAUGUGAAUGACGAUUAGUCCACACCUCAACAUAUGCUCGAUGUGCAGUUAACCAGUCUUGGUUCCCCUUGCCACGACGAUCAAGAGAAUGCAGUGCCUGUUGAUUUUCGGUCAAUCUUAGAUCAGGCACGGGCAGAUGAUAUCCGAACUGUCUCAUAACCCGAUUCGGAAGAUGUGGCUCGACAACUUCCCAACAUAUGAGAUACAUGACAUAUCUCCAAAUGCGGCGUCCUGCAGUACAAUAUGCAGGCAGAGAAGCGAGAAUAUCGUCCGAGUAUGGCUGCUAUAUGAACUGCAAGACCAAUAAUUAUUCAAUGACAUAACCUUCAACCAACAUAUGACCCUAAUUUUAAUGAAAAAAUACUCCGAUAUAACGGCAAAGUCCAAUCACAAAAGCAUCAAAGGAUGUUAGUGUACCUCUCGGGCACGUAAGCCCGUCAACUGAUCUCGAAAUAUAGAUACAAUAUGUCUUGCCACUCUGUGUACAUCAAAUUGAACAUUCCACCUGCAGGAACGAAUUCGAGCCGUUGUGUCUUAAAGGCGUCAAUUGAUUUGUAUUAGUAUUAUAGACAUAUAUUUGAUAUACAUACCGAACUCCAUAUGGAUCAGGAUAGUGCUCUAAUGGAUGCACUCGAUCAGGGCGAACUGUUGGUAUACAUUCCCACGCCCAUAGCUGUAAUUAAAUUGUAUUUGAAUAUAUUAAUUGAUCAUUUAUAAUUCUAUAGUUAAAUCUAGACACGUUGAACGAGACAAAUGUACCUGAAGCAAUAUUAAUGGUCCCGCAAUGGACGAUUUAGAGGAAGAUGUGGCGCUACACAAUGAUCAAUACAGAGUUGCUAAUAUCGCACUACCCCAACUAUAUUGCCCAACAGUUUCCAAAUCUCGUAGUAAUGGCAUAUACAAUAACGGGACUUUAUUACCAGAUUUAUCUGAUAAUAAAUGACCGCCUAAUAUCAGGAGCAGGUAUACGCGGGCCCCUGUCUACAUUGGACAUCCGAAGCAUCGGGUGCCAACCCUGCAUCUAAUACUCUAGAUAAACACCCCAAUUUGAGCUGUCGCCCAUCAAAAUCUGAUAUCGUUGGAGAAAAAUCAAGCAACUCCUCACAUAAAUUCAUCCACUCCUGAACACUAUAAGAUAUAUCUAUCCCUAUAACUGGAGAACCAUCUAUGAUAGACCCCACAGAACCUCAACAUCCUGUAAGGUAACUGUAGUCUCUCCAACGGGGAGAUGAAAUGUAUGAGUCUCGGGCCGCCAUCGCUCCACUAAACUAGUGAUCAAAGCAUGAUCGAGCAUCAUAUAUCCACAGUCAAGCACCCCUUCAACGCCAACCAAUCGAAUAUAAUGCCGAACAGUCUCAGGGAUAGGUGUAUGAUCCCAAAAAUACCUAUCACAUCGUCUGACAUCAAACUGAUCACCUAGAAUGUGCCCGUCAAAUAUAGAAUGUGCCUGGUGUGCAGUGCCUGCUGAGAUAAUAUCAUACACAAAUGGGCCCGGAUGCAGGACUGCCCCCGUAGGAAUGUCGGCCAUACCUCUGACAACAAUAGCUGCAAAUACAUUAUGUAACAUAUAAGCCUACACACAUUUGAAUAGAAGAAUAGGAGUUUCUAAAACUAAUGCAACACUUUAAAUACAGACCUGCUAAAAACAAGGUCAAAAAUAUGACCCGAUUGAAACAUUGAUCAACAACAUAUAUCUCAUAAAUCAUAUUAAUUCCAUAAUCCAAAAAAUUACAGAUAUCAUAGUACACUGGUUCCUAUCCCUAAAACUGAUGAUAUCAAGCACUAAAUUUUGGACAAUUUCUUCUAUUAUGACCUGAUUGAUGACAAUUUGUACAUCUUCUUGGCUCCUCUGGGUCUCUCUCAUCCAUCUCAUUCCGAAUUCUUCUAGCUCAUACCCUUCCAGCCCGACGUGCAACAUAUUUACUAUUAUCUGCCCGUAGCUCCCAAUCUGGUUGGAACCAAGUAUCCGGAUAUGGCAAAGGGCUAAACUUUCCUGAAUACUGCACCGCCCACCGUCUUUUUGUAAAUUGGAGAUCUACAAGUGCACCAGGAUUAUCACCUCGGUGCCUGCACACGGCCAUCACGUGCGAACAGGGAAGUCUGUAGCACUGCCACUUACCACAAGAGCAUGUUUUAUCAAAAUACUUUACCGUUAGUGUAUUACCCCCUUUGCCAUCCACACGUCUACCAGUCACAACUUUGUACACCCCCGAUGAGCCAUCGAACUCAACAACCCUAUGGGUUCCCGCUUUCAGAUCCGAAUUCUUAAACCGCCGCCAUAUCUUUGGAGGAAAUGGAUUACGGCAAUGUCUAACAUCCUCUCUUCUUAUUUUAAACAACUCAACUGUCCGAUGAAAUGUCAUAUCAAUACAAGCCCGGAUAGGCAAAUGACGUGCUCCUCUAAGUACAUUAUUAUAACUUUCGGAAAUGUUGGUUGUAAGAAUACCCCAACGGUUCUCACCGUCAUGUGUUAGACACUACUUCUCAGCUCCAAUGUUAGACAGAUAAGUCCAUGCAUCUGGAAACAUGUUCCUCAAUUCUCGUUUGAAUGCCCGCCACUUGCGCAAUUGUCUGGCUUUUCCCAUUGCCCAACAUAACCUUCUAAGGUGCAAGCCUUUGAAGUGAGUCAUUAGGUUACUCCUAACGUGUCGUAGACAAAAUCUAUGAAAGGCCAAAGGUUCUUGCCAAUAGUCAUAAUGUGUCAUGGCAUGGAUGAUACCAUUAUGCCGAUCCGAAAUGACACAAAUAGGAUACCGAUCACGGGCCACAUUGUAUCUUAGUUGUUCCAUGAACCAAAACCAACUAGAAAUAGUUUCUUCGUCGAUAAUGGCAUAGGCUAGCGGAAUAAUCUUGUUGUUGGCAUCUUCCGUUAACUGCAACAAGUAGUUUGCCUUUAUAUUCGCCUCGCAGAUGAGUGCCAUCAACACAUAUAACCGGUUGACACAUGUGAAAUGCAUCAAUAGCCGGUCCAAAAGCUCAGAAGACAUACUUAAAUGUCUUCACACGAUCCGUACUAUCAGAAUGGUGCAACCACCUGAUCACAGAUCCCUGAUUUGACUGCAUAAGUGCAUCAACAUAUUUCGGUAGUUCAGUAAAAUUGGCAUCCCAAGAACCGAAUAUAAGUUCAAUAGCUUUACGUCUGCCGUACAAAGCCUUUUUAUAAGAGACACCCACCUUCAAAACUUCCUUAACAUGGCUUACUAUAUUCUUUACUUUAAACCCAGGAUCAUCUUCAAUGCUACGAACUAUGUGUCUAGCAAUAACCGAAAAUGUUCUUAAAUGACAUUGAAUUCAACAUUUGGGAAAAAAAUCUUUUACUCACAUACAUUUUUUUUGUAUAAAAUAUUGACCUACGAAAUUAAGAAAUAAACAAAUUUUAACUAAUCUAGUCUACUUAUUUAAACAAUUGUUUAAAGAAAAAAAGGAAGAAUUUAAAAAGAAAAUUAACAAAUAUGAUACAUUAAAAGGGGUAUAUUUUUCCAAACAUAUCAUUCAAGAGGGCAAAAUACCUAUUAUUAUAGUUUAGGGGAUAAAUUGUAACUGGGUAAAUAGUUUAUAGGGAUUUUUUUGCAUUUAACCCUUUAUCAAACGAUUAUUACGUGAUUAUUUUUCUUAUAGAGUACAAGAUAUAAUUUGCUAUAAAUGCAAAAAUAAAGAUCUAGCAUAAUAAUCAUUUCCAAAUUUUAUUUGUUUAUUGUAAUUUAUUAUUCAUAAUAGAUAUAUAUUUUUUGAAAAAAAUUACUUUUUAUUAUAUAUAUUUUGAAAAAUAUAUAUAUUACACAUUGUCAUUACUUUUUUUUAAAAAAAAAUUGAUAGAAUCUCCCCUUAAAAGUCUAAUUACUUUUUUUAAUGCUCACAAGAGCUUAGGGAAGGUUUUUAUUGUGAAAAAUUGGAAGUUUUAUGGAUGAAAUGGAAAAUUAGGGUUUCGGUGAGAAGAGGGAAGAGGAAAUCUGGAAACUGAGGAACCGAGCCCUCGGUUUCAGACAUAUUGCGAAACGAUCCGAGCACGGAUCGGUUCUUGAAGUCCUCGGAUCCGACAAGCCUCGGAUCCGUCUCACCAGGAACACAGACGAUCCCUCGGAUCCGGCCGGGUUUUCUUGGAUCCGAACUCGUAUCUUAUGGAUCCGGGGUCGGAUUUGUCUGGAUUGACUUCGAUCCGACCUCGGAUCUUACUUCCUCUGCACUAAAUGCAGAAACUGUGAUUUUCCAAACUUUUUCUCCCUUUUCCAAACUAAUUGUCAAACUAACCAUGGCAAGCUAAUGCGACUCAAACCGAAAGAACAAGAACGAUUAAUAAAUUGCCAAAACAUAACAGCCAGCUCAAUUCAGCAAAACAAAAAUCCUGUUGAAACAACAAACAAACUGACAAGCAAAAAAAAAAAAAGAUAAAUUCAUACCUCUUAUGGCAAAUUGGGAGGGAGGGGGGGAGAUGCACAGAUUCCAGACAGCUUGGCAGAAAUGGGACAGCUUGGUUUCAGCGAAUAGCUUCCGACGACAAAGAUGUGAGGGAUUUCCUCUGCCGAGAUGUGAGCGAUUUCGUCUACAAUACAAUGGCAAUGGCGGGGAACUGAGAUGCUUGGAGCACUGACUACCUCAGCAAAGGAGACGAGAAAGUGACCUCCAAUUUCUGUUGGCUACGAGACAUUUUUGAAUUGGGUUUCAGACUGAGUAUCUCGCAUUUGUCGAAUGCGAGGUACCUCACCUCGCAUUUCACAAAUGCGAGCUUUGUGUUGGCUUUUUUCUUUUCCGCACACCAUUUCUCAUCUUUUUCCGGAACAAUAACCUCGCAUUUGUGAAAUGCGAGGUCAGCUUUUUUUUUUUUUUUUUAAUUUCGGUGGUAGAAAAUUUGAGAGUUCGCAUUCAUCAAAUGCGAGUUCCUUGAGCUCGCAUUUGAUGAAUGCGAAGACCCCAAAAACAGAAACCAGUACACAAAAUACCCCCUUUGUAGAAUUUUUUUAAAAAUCAUAAUAAUUUUAGAAAUUUCUCCCAAAUCAAGGCACUCCGAUUAUCAACAGUAACAGGUUGUUGCCACCACCCCCUUAUGCAAAAUCACCCCAAACAUCCAAAGCUACACCCACCAACAAUGAAACACUAUAGCGGCUAAUACUACACUACCAAUGAAAUGUAUACAAAAGCAACUAGUACUACAAUGCCAAUAAAAAAAAAUGUAUACAAAAACCACGUCCUUUUUUUUUCAGUGCAAAUAGAUGAAUUAUUAGUAUUUGCGUGGCUAAGGAGGCCUUGAUGUAGAAGAUAAAAUUGAGAUUUCAGAAAUUAGAGAUUCUUGGCUCAUUUUCCCUUAUCCCCUCCCUUGCUAGAAGAAUAAAAAUAACUUUAAAAAUUAGUAUUUGCGUAAAUCACAAAAGCACAGAAAGAUUACAUCAUUGAAGAGGAACAAGGAUCAAAACGGAAUUUUAUUGGGAAGGGACUGAAUGGAUGGAUAGAUAGAUGUCUGUGAAUCCACAAUAUAUAGUCUGCUGAAUGAUACAAAACAUACCAAAUAUGAAGACAAGCCACUCACAAUCAUGUGAAGCCACUAUUCGACCAUGUUAGACACCUCGAAAUGCUGUCUUGCAAAGAUUCCUACACUACAUAAAGGCACUAAUUUAUCAAGGGCUUCAGCAGCUUCCAAGUCUUGAGUGUUCGUUGCUUUGCCAACUCCUCCUACUGAAAUAUCACCCGUUGUAAUUUGAGCUGGUGCAUUCAGUCCCAUUGAUCUGGCUUUAACCAUUAUUCCCCCAAACUGAACCAUGUUUGCAUGGCUAUGUAGACUACUAAACAGAAGUGAUGGCCAAUAUCCAACAACUAACCCUGGCCCGAUUUCGAGCCACCAAUGCCCAUGCUUAGCAUCCUAAAAAAUGAAACUUGAGUAGUAUAAAGACAGUGUGUUUGGGCAGGAGAUUAUUUGAAAUAUUACUUGACUAAUGUAGUACUAUUAUAACGUGACAUACGUAGAUGGAACUACAAAAUAUAUCGUGAGGGUUUAAGCUUUAAUAUAUCUAAACUUAAAUGUAUAACCUAAAAUAUUUUUGAGUUUUUGUAGGGGUGAGAUUUUAAAUUUAGAAUAAUUUACAUAUAACCCCCUGUGAUUUCAUCUGUUACUACAUGAUCCUUCAACGCUUCAAAAUGUCCACUUCACUUCCUAUGGUUUUAUAUGAAGUUGAAGCUUGAUGGAAAAUAGUUAUGUAAUGUCAUUAGUUGAAUUAUCAAUAGUACCCUUACUUAAAUGUUAAAUCAAUCAACGGCUUAACUACCUUAUAUAAAACUAUAGAGAGAUUACGUCGAUAAAUGCAAAAAUCACAAGAGGUAAAAUGGAUAUUUAUAUAAAUCAUAAGAGGAUUACAAGGAUGUUAAAGCACGUUUGGUAUAAAUGCCUAAACUGGUUGUGCAUUCCUUCCAUUUUCCACUAAAACUACAAGGGAGUUAUUUGGCUAUUUUAAAGCCUUAGGAGGGUCUAUCAUUUUGUAAAACUACAGGGGGUCAUAAGUAAUUUACCCUUCAAUUUAUAAAGAGUGAUUUUGAAAAAUUUUUAAUCUCAUAAGGGAGGAAACUUAAAUUUUAAUAGACUUGAAAGAGGCUCUUCCCACAUCCCCUAGUUCCAUCUUUGGUGAUAUAUAUGAGAUUUUCUUUUUAAAAAAAUUUAAUAGUGAUCAAAAAAAAUAAAAAAAAAUAAAAAAAUGUGUUUGUAACACAAGCAAAUAAUAUUUACAAAACAAUACCAGUCCAAACAUGAUUACUACUCUAUCAAAUAUGCCAAAAAAAAAAAGAUAUUUGACAUUUGAAUAAAAUGAGUUGUGACAUGAUUAGUUCAAGCUUGUUACAUAUGAGUUUAUUAAUUGGGACCUUCUUUUACAUAAAUUACGCGUCCCACCAUGGGUAUCCUCCUUCUUUGAGAAGUACAGACGUGUAAAUAUAGACUAUAUCUAUUACUAUAUAAUGUAAUCGUAUUUUAACUAAAAUCACAAAUGUCGAUCAGAAACUAUUCAGAAUAAAAAAAAAGGGCUACAUGGAUAAAUAAAAUUAACUUUGUAAAAAUGUUUUUCUAUUAGAUACUUUCCAUAAUUUGUAUCACAAAAAUAAAAAAGUAGAAAGGAUUUGAACUUCUUCCAAAUUAAAAUUUGAAGAAAAUCUCAAAACAUAUAUAGUCAAAAUGAAACUGGAAAAAAAAAGAUUUCCAAAGAUUCAAAAUAAAAUAUCUAUGAAUCUAAAUAAAUGUUUUUAAUUGUAUAGUUGAUACAAUUUUGGUAAUAUCUUCUAUAAUAAGGUAAAGCCAAUAAUUGUAAAUCUUCAACAUGUAUAGUAUAUGCCAAACCAAUCAAAUAUGUACAACGAAUGUGAAUUUCUUUUAUUUAUAACCUCUUUCAUGUAGAAAAAAAUCUUUAUUAAAUUAGAUUGGUUUUAUGAGUACUAAGUGAUUAAAUUAUAAAAUAUUAGAAUGUCAUGACUAUGUCAGUUAUCAAAUGGCAUUGCCUAAGAUCUACUUUAGUAUCUUAAGAGUGAGGGUUAAACCAAUAGUUAGUUAAUAAAAUAAUUUAAAAAAUGGAAAGUCAUGGUAACUAAACUAUGAAAAAUUAUGCAUGUAUGAUAGAAAAUGUAACUUUAAUUUCCAAAAAAAUUUCAACGUUUAUUGCCAUAAAGAGAGAAAAUACUAAAGUAAAUCGUUGAUAAGUAUAAAAAAGAAAAAAAAUAGUUGUGUUUUCUUUAUGCAACUGAAAUAAAAAAAAUUAAAGAAUAAAAUAGUGAGAAGGAGAUCACUUCAUGUGUUGCACACCAAAAUAGACAACAAACUAAAGAAUGGAUGAAAAAAGAAAGUCUACAAAGCUUAUACACCAUGCAACGCUUCACUAUUUUGACCAAUUUUGUUAUUAGUCAUGUAAGAGUUUGUAGAAUUUUGUCCAAUCUUUUUGCUUAAAAUUUAAAAUUUGAUGGUGUGAUAUAUAUCUUUCAACUUAAUCAAUUGUAUCUCUUGAUAAAGCCAUGGCCAUGGUUUUUCACGUGACAGUGUAUUCCUGUCUUUUUUCUUUUUAUUUACUCUAAGAACUAAAACAUAUGACCAAUUCAACUUUAAACAUCAAUAGAUUCUUUGACAUUUGAUUUUUCUGGCCUAUAAUGACAUUAAUUUUGAUUAAGUUCAAUAUCAUAUACUUAAGGGCAAAUUACACUUUUCCCCCCUAUAGUUUAGUGUUUCUUUAUAUAACUCUUCUAUGGUUUCAAAAACUAUAUAUAACUCCCUCAUGGUUUGGAUUAAAGUGUCAAACUAACAGAAUUUGCAAUCCAUCACAAAGUCAACUAAAAUGUCAAAAAUAUUCCCAUGUAAAGUUGAAAAUUACUUAUUCUUCAACUUACUUAUUAACCACAAGGGGAUUAUAUAUAUAAAAACCAUAAGAGGGUUAUAUGGUAAAGUACUAAACCAUAAGGGAGUUAUAUGAUAAAAUAUAAAAUCAUAUGAGAUUAGAGUGUAAUGCAUAUUAUGUUUAUAUAUUUUGGUCAUUUCAGUCAUUUUAGUUUUUAAACAAUGGUAAUUUCGAUAUUGUCCUAGUUUUCAUUACAGAUGAUCAUUUCCGUCACUUUAACACUUAAUCCAAACUAUAAGGGAGUUAUAUAUAACUUCUAAAACUAUAAAGGAGUCAUGUGAAAAUUAGUUAUACCACAAGGGGGUAAAGUAUAAUUUGCCCUAUAUUUAAGCAAGUUCAUACACAUGUGAAGCACAUGCAUUUUGCUAGUAACCCAACAUAUUCUUUUUUUGUGGAGAUAUUAAAGGUGGCAUGCACUUGCUAACUGCCCUUGUCACUUGCCUUUAAUUUUUUGUGAUCCAUUACUUUGAUGGAAGUUGUGUGGUUUAGCGGAGUUCAAGAAAUGAAGCUUCAUUUAAAGCCAGUUGUUAUGAACUAGUAACAGAAGUUUCGUUGUUGUCAACCAAAAAAAAAAAAAGUUUAGUUGUUGUCAACAAAGGAAAAAUAAAUAAAUAAAUAAAAAAUCCUGAUGCCCUGACAGAGAGGAGAAUCUGACAAUCAAGUAACUAUAUCAAGAAUAGUUGGUAAGCCAGAAAGAUAUUAUAAUGAGGAUGAUAUACAACCAUUCGUAUGUUAUGACAUACUGUUGCCUAAUUUGAGCAGGCAAAUAAUAACAGGGUUGUACUUUUCUUAGUUUCAUGUGUCGAAUGCAAAUAUGCGAAUUUAGUUUCAUUUUGCAAGAAAAAAGCUAAGUACGUUUCAAUUAAAGUCUAAGAAUCUGAACUGGAAGGUUGCAUAAGAUGGCAUUGAGCUUACCUUUGCGAUGAUCAUCGGUAUGCCGAUAUCUAGUUCUCUGCCAUUCUGAGAAAAUCUUGGAGAGAUUGCUGCCCCUAAAGAAAUUCUAUUAGUAGUUUGUACAAAGCCUGAACACAGGAGGUUAUAGCAUCCCGUGGUUCCAUAUGAAUCAGCCUGCAGAUUGAAAGUGAUCAGCAAUCAAGAACUUUUAUGUCUAGCACAUACAAACGUAACUUAAGGAUGCAUAUUUGAUGGUUUACCGUCCAAUACGUGAAGAAUCUGGGGGAGUUGUCUCCAAAUAAUUUCGGAUUAACCUGGAGAAUAUAAAAAUGGCUGAUCCUUAGAUGUCUUCUUCUACCCCCGAAGACUUAGAAAACAUGAUUCUUGUGUCUAGUUUACGUACCUGCAAGCCGGCUUCAACGGUAUUAAGAUCAUUACUAGUACUAUUACCAGAGGCCAUCCAGACUUGUGACAGUCUGAAGUCAUAUUGGUCCGUCUCAUUAGCUUUCCAGACAUGUAUGUAGAGUCGUGCUCCAGAGUAACAAUCUCCAGUAACAUCGCCAACAGGUCUCUACAUUGCAAAUAAAGAAAAGUCAUGUGUAUAAAAUCCGAAUCUAUGAACUUUUGAUGCUACGAUUGGAAACUUAAAAGCUUAGACAGAGCCAAAUAUGUUAACAGCAAUUUGAUUUGCAACUUGAUUUAUUCAUAUUGUCCAAUGAGUUUCUUAAAUAUCAUUUUUUUCCUUUGGUAAGAAUUUCACUUUUAUUCUCUUCUCAAACUUCUCAUUUGUUUGGCAUUGUUCCAGAAAUGUAAUUAUUUUGAGGAGAGAAUAAGAAAAUGGCAUGAUCUAUUUUUCGGAGAGAGAGAGAGAGACAUUUGGAUGUAAUUAUAGGAAGAAGAUAAGAUAAGUUUCCCCAAACUUCGAGUCGCUUAUGCAUUGAUUUAGAAAUCAUUGCCUUGAUAAAUCUGAGAAACUGACCUAACUAGUUUCUUAAAAACUAACUGAACCAAGGUUUUUUGAGUGCCGUUUUACUUCAUUUCACAGACUUACCAGUUGAUCAUUACUGCUUAUCUUAGUAUUCUGUUUGCUGAAAGAUUUUCUGCCGAAUUUGUGCAGUGAACCAGCUCUCAGGACAUCUUUCAUUGUAGUUCUUCUGAUAGGUACAGUACCAUCCGGGCACAAUUCACCAGAAUCAGUCCACAGUUGAAUGCUUUUCCUAGAACCAUGGUGGGUUGGUUUCUGUGAAAAUAUCAGCAGAGUUAUUGUUAGAAGCUCCGUCUAUACCAGAACCAGUCCAAACAAAAAUUUUCAAGACAUCAAAUUUCUUUCAUCAUAGUGUCCCAGGUUAAAUCUGGAUAUGUUUUAAUUUUCUCAGCCCAUUACUAGGUAUGUGUAAAUGUACUUUUAACAAAAUAGUUUCUUUAGACUCUAGUUUCUGCAGAAACAUAGAGCAAAUGAUCUGAUUCUGAACACAAUUACCAGUGGCUUCAGUCCUUUGAGCAGAGGAUGGUCAAAAGCCGGUUGGAGAUGAGAUGGGACACAAUCUAUUAGAUCACCAUCUGGACUCUGUGUCAAAGAAGUUAGGCAAAUUGAAAUUAGUAACUGAAAACCACUAAAAAGAUGCCAAAUUUAGCUAGCAACAGUACUGGAAAGGUAUGAAAAAGAAUUGCCUCAAUUGUCUUGAUUGCGAGUUUGUUAAUCCUCCUCAGAUACCUUCUAAUUCUCUUUAACUUCUGCACCCUUUGACUCAGAUGGAUAGUUUGAUUGCGUAACAGGUGGUUGUCACUGGAAUCCAAUAUAUCAUUUGGCAUAGAAAAGGCAGAUGAAAUAGAAGAAGCAAUAAGUACAACCAAUGUGAAGAUAAUUCGGAUUGUUUUGUAAGAUCUGGCAGAGGCCAUGCUUGUUCUGUGUAUAUCUAUUUCUGCUUCUCUUAACUUAGUGUUUCUCCUAAAUACAAAUAUCACCCAUUUGUAUUGACCACCAUGACAUUCUGAACGACAGAAUCAUGGUUUACUAAAAAAUGAUUGUCCAUCAAGAUAGCAGUAGUGCUCAAGAAGCCAUCCAAAUCAUUUAUAUUACCCAACAAACCUAUCAAAGAAAAAGUCAAAUCAACUCUCCCUCAACAUUUUGAACUUUCUUCCCUCCUAUCUCUGGCUUUUCAAAGAUUCUAUAAUGUUAUAGUAGUCUCUCAAUAAGCAUUAAUCAGUAUAGGAGGUUUCACCAGUAAUAUAUUGAUAGUCUACGAAACUCAACUGGUUAUCAUAAAGAAUGUGCACAGACAAAAGGACUUGCAAAUUAAUGCAUAGGUUAAAGAUUCAAAACUUAUUUGCUUGCUCAGUGCAGCUAGCUUAGGGAUGACAGCAGAUGCAGAUGGAAUCUAAGUUAUAAUUUGCUGCUUGGUUUUCACUUUUGUGUAGGUCAAAUUCAUGUGGCUUGCUUAAUCUCCACAGCUAGGUGGUUGGUGGGCGCAUAUCAGCCUCCUCAUCAAUAUUAAUCUAUUAAUCGACUCUCAAUUUGUCUUGCUAAUUUUUCUUCCUGUUUUUCAGAUUUUGUUCCCUUCUUUUCUAACCUAAGAAGUCAGGGUGGGUGUACACAAAUUUAGUUGACUUCAGAUUCCAAUGUAUUUGACAUUUAGUUCAGGUAAAAGCAUCUCACUCUACAUAUGCUGACUUGAAAAUCACUGUUAUGUCUAAAAUUGUUUUAUACCCUCUUAUUAUUUUAUUUUAGAGAUUAUCAAUUCCAUGAUUCCGUCUGGGAGAAAUAUAGCCAAUUCAUAUAGGUAAAAUGUAUCUAUAUCAGUACUUGCUGUUAGUUGCAUGUGCCUAAGCAGAAUCUGUCUUUGGCAAACAAACAAUCUGUCUUGAUGGCCUAACUCAGAAUUAGUUUGUCAUUUUCACUGUUUCUCUUUGUUUGAGAGCUGUUAGCAAGUCUUGUUUAAGUGAUUUUGUCUUACAAGGAAGGCUCAUGUUAUAUUAUAAACUGAGGUUGGUGACAAAAAUGUUACAUUUUUUUUGUUUUCCCCAUGCUUGGCACAUGCAAGUCUCCUCAUAGAACGUUAAGCACUCAUUUUCAUGUCUUAAUCAAAUUGCUUAAUCUAAUACACAAAGGAAGACUAAUAUUGAAGUUGUUGUGGCUAGGUUCAUGUUUCAACUUUCAAGAUGGACAAUCAAUGGCAUAUUGGUCAUUUUGCCUGAACUUAACCUCAACUUUGAGAAGGAUAAAGAAUUGCAUUAAUACCAUACAUGGCUUUCUUCUCUGUGCAUGCAUGUAACUUUCCAUAUCCACAAGGUACAAAAGUAGAAAGUAAAUUACACACAAAACUCCUAUUUUUCUUCUUGCUACAAAGUAAUGGGUAAAAAGUUGGGGGGGUGAAAAUGUGAAAUGGAAUGCUUUUCAAAAGAAUUUUGAAAUGGUCUCUGUCUAUUUUAAAGGAAAGGGGAAAUUGGGGACCAAAGGAAAGUUUUAGGCCAAUAAUAGGUGACCACCCUACACUUUUAUGCCCUUUUAAGGACACCUUGAGUUCCUUCCAGGGCCACCAUAGUAGAAGUAAUUUCCCCAGACAUUGUUUCUUCCUGCUUUUAUAUCAUAACAAGUAGGAUGAUCAGCCAAGAGAUGAAGAUUAGAUAGAGGAAUUAAGCUGUUAUCCCAGUCAACAACUUGCAAAUUUCUGAAGUAAGAUGCUUUGCCAAAUCCUUCAUCUGCAAAAUGGCCACUUCCCAUCUGUGUUGAUGUGUGAUAUCCUGUUGAUCUGGUGUUUACUAUUUCUCCACCAAACUGAACCAUGCUGGCAUGGCUUCGUAGAUGACUAAACAGAAAUGAUGGCCAGUAUCCCACAAGCAAUCCUGAACCGAAUUCGAGCCACCAAUGUCCAUGCUUAGGAUCCUACAAAAUAAAAAUUUAUGAGUUCCCAAUUUUAUGAAUGCAAUUUUAAAUUACUGCUUCCUCUUUUACAUUUUUUGUAAGUCAAUGGGAAGGAACUGUAAUUUGAAAAAAUGCCAUAAGUAGGAGCAUUCACCAGCUGCAUUCACGCGUUUGCUCUACUUAUUUCUGGCCUAUUAGGCAAUAAUUCAACUCAAUAUGUAGGAUAGUCUGAGUAUUCUACUAUUACCUUCAAAAGCCAGUUGUUGUCUACUAGCAAGAAAUAUACUUAAUAAUACAGAAGGAAGGGAAAGAGAAUUUUUUUUACUCAGAGAGGAGAAUCUGACAUUUAAAUGUCAAGAACAGUUGGACAACUUCAAAUACAAAAUAAUGUAAUCGAGGAUGUUUCGCGCAUAUCGUAGACUUGCUAAAACAUUGGUCAACCUGUUGUCUUCUAACAGAAAAAUCAUAAUCCAUGCUAACCAUUAAGUAAUUGAACAGGAAGUGCUUAGUUGGCUUAUUCUUUUCCUCGUUUCAUGUGUUCAGAUGGAAAUGACAUUGUACGGCUUAAAGAAAUCACUCGUGUUGCUGAAGUAGCCAAAAAAUGUUAGAUAUCUUUAGGUUGAAAAGAAAAGAUAAGAGACCUGGGGAAAAGUAUUAGGGAGUCUGUCAUUUACCUUCCAUAUCAUAACACCAAUAUCAAAUUGUCUGCUACUGUAAGAUGACCUUGGAGAGAUUGCUGCCCCUAUAGAAAUUCUAUUAUUUGUCUGUACAAAUCCUGAACACAGUAAAUUGUAGCAUCCUGUGGCUUGGUAUGCAUCAGUCUGUAAAUUAGGUCAUUAACGGUAAGCUUUCAAUGUCUUAAAACAUGAAUAUUAGUGCAUAUGAAGAAUUCAACUAUUGAUAGUUACCGUCCAAUAGGUGAAGAACCUCGGAUUGCCAUCUCCAUAUAACUCUGGACUAACCUGGAAAAGUGUGAAUUGGCAAAUUCUUAAAUGUCUUGCUCAAUCUACAUUGACUCAAACAUAAAAUGCAGUACACAAUCAUAAAAACCUAUCUGCUGGGAAACUUUUCUAAUAAAAUCUAGACGACUAUCAUUUUUGCAGAACAAAAUUAAGUUUUGACCAUACUUCUAAGAAGGUGUUUAGUUUCACAAGAAACAUCUUUCCUGUUAAUACUGGAAAAAUUGAACAAAAGAAACAUGUUUCCCCCUUAGAACAAAAGACACAGAAGAUAAACUUUUCCACUUGUACAUACCUGCCAACCGGCUUCAAUGGUAUUAAGAUCAUUUCCAAAAGUGCCAGAAAUGAUCCAGACUUGGGACAAACUGAACUCAUAUGGGUCUGUGACGCGAGGUGUCCAUACAUUUAUGCUGACCUUAGCUCCAUAAAACUGAUCUCCAUUUACAAAAGCAACUGCAUGCUACAUUGCAAAGAAACAAGUAUCAUCACAAUGACCAAAUUCAUGCUAGAUAACCAUGAAUUUGUGCACUGUUAUUCGACCCCUUUAUGUUGAUCUUUUGAUGCUACAGUUAGACUAAAGCUGAGAGCAAAAGAUGUAUUAGGGGCUUUGGAAUUCAGACUACAGACUGAAGCAACCAUGGUAUAUUCACUUUUUCAAAAUGAAAUUUCCGCAAAUAUAACUAAGGUCUUAUACCAUGCCACUCCAAUUAGUAAUUUUAUUUGAAAGAGCACUAGCCCUUUGGUUGUAACUAUACACAAAAGAGAAGAGGGCGGAAUAGGACAGUUUACCUCAAGUCUAGCCAUCUUUUCUCUUAUGGAUAGAACAGUCACAUCUUCAGCUACAUCUAUCUGAAUAAAUGACAUGUUUUAUAAAAGCAACUAAGGCUUUUUAGUCCCCCCACUUCCCUAUCCUUAGUAAAUAGAAUCUAAUUCACUUAGGAAAUAAAGGUUUCUUCUCUGUGUAUUUUCCUGUGAAUUAUGCUACAAACUUCACAUACUAACCUCAUGAUCACUGCUCAUGGUGUCAUGGCGUACAUUUCUGAUUUUUCUUCCAAAUCUUCUCAACGUGCUAGCUCUCAGGACAUCUUUCUCGGUAGUUCUUCUAAUUGGUAUGGUCCCUUCUGGACAGGCUUCACCAGAAUCAGUCCAUAGUUGAAAGCUCUCUGUCAAUGCAUCAACGGAGUCAUGGCCUUUAGGCCUCUCUGGCGGUUCCUGCAUUUACUUGAUCAAUAUUUUUCAGGGAAUCACAAAUGACAGAGAUUUUAUACAAACACAAAAUUGAAGAGUUAUGCUUUGAUCUGAACUUAUAAGAGUACCAGUGGCUUCUGUCCUUUGAGCUGAGGGUGAUCAAAAGCUGGUUGAAGAUGAGAUAGAACACAAUCUAUUACAUCACCAUCUGGGCUCUGCAGGAAUUAUAGAAUAACAUUAAAUCAGUAGACUUAAACCUAACGAGACAUCAAAACUUUUCAAAUUUGGUAAGAAACAGAACUACAAAAGUCAGAGAAGAAUGCCUUAAUUGUCUUGACUGCUGGCUUGUUGAUCUUCUUCAGAUAACUUCUAAUCCUCCUCAACCUAUGCAAUUCUGAGCGCGGCCGGAAAGUUUGGUUGGAUAAGAGAACGUUAUGACUGGAAUCUGAUGCCUGGAUAGUAGGCUUGGACGAGACAGGAGCAGUAUUGAAGGAAACAAGAACUGACAAAACAACAAAUGUGAAAAUGAUUGGAAGUUUUCUGUAAGAUGUUGUAGUAGAAGAAGAAGCCAUACUGCAGCUUCUUGUUGAAUGUCCUUGUGUGGUUGUUUCUUCUGUUAAUUUGGUUUGAGUUUGUAUGCAUUUGUGUGUCCUCUCUAUAGUCUAUGAUCUAAUUUACAAAACAGAAACAUGGUUUAUUCCAAAAGUUUGUCCAUUGGCCACCAGCAUUACAUACCUAUCAACAAACAAAUGAACAAUUCAAAUGUGUACAAACCAAAACAUCCAACAGAAAAGUUAAACCGGUUCACUCCUCAACAUUUGCUAUACUUCUUUUUCCUCUCUCUCUUCCUCAGUGAGAUUCUAGUGUGUCUUGGUCUUGUGUUUCUGACACACACAACCUUCAGCCUGGGCUCGUUAAAAUAGGCCCCUACCAGAGGAGGUUAUUGACACAAGGGAUUCUGGUCAAAAGGGCCUUAUUUUAAUAGAGUAACAGGCAUUAGGGGUUGUUUACCUGAUGAUAGAACUAGAAUUCAAGGCAUUAUUUGUUUUCCUUUUUCUCCAUCUUUUCAACUUUUUGCAGGGUUCAGAUUAUGGUUCUUUGCAUGUUUAUUUCCACUUUUUGCAUGCUCGUCAAUCCUGUAUAAUAUACUAGUAUAAUUCAUUAGUUAAAAAACAAAAACUCCACAUUUCAAACUUUCAGAUUCUUGUUUCUUAUAUUUUGUCCUGCAAGUUUUGGCGUAUUAGUAAGACAAGUGGAGAAUGUUUACCACUGUAGAUCGGAACUCAUUGACUGUUGAUUCUUGAGUCUAAAAUGAAGUGGAGUUUAAUUGGACAACUACUUGAUAUAAUGAUGAAUCUGUAUGAAGGGUCGCUACAUAAUGAUUGCAGUACCAAUAUAGGUAGAGUAAAUGAAGGACUGUACAAAGCGGACAUUUUUUGGUGGACCAUAUUUAAGACACAUGAUUUGCACAAACAUGAAGAUAAUGAUUACCAUCAGAAAAAUGUAAAAUAUACACUAGAAUAGAGACACAUCAUGAUGAUGCAAAAAAUAAAGUAUAUCAUUUUUUACUUGCUAUUUUUGAGAAUCAUCAUAACCUAAAUCAUAAUCAUGAUUACCAUGAUUUAAGAAUUUUGACCUUGAAUAACUAAAAGUAAAAGAUUCUCAGUAGCAUUUCUACCAAUGAACUUUUGUUUACUGUAAAGAAGGUUUUGAAUUUGAAACCUCUCAUUUAUGCCUGUCAUAUCAUUUAACACAUCCAUAUCAUUUAACGCAUCCCUUUUCCUCUUUUAACAAUGAACUUGUGCGCUAGCAAUAUUGUAGCGUUCUUUGUUUGUUUUGGUGGUAGUGAAGGCAAUAUUUGACUUUCUACUGCUAGUAGAAAUUAAUAAUUUUGUGCAGUAAACAAGGUAAAAAAUAUUUUGAUAGGAGUUAUAUUUUGAAGGUUUAAUAACUAAAUGGCCCUUGCAAUAUGGAGUAAGUAGCAAAUUGCCCUCUAUAAUUAGAAAACCUACAAAUUAUUCCCUGCAAAAAAUAACCAAACACUUGGGUUAUAUUUUAGGUACAAAAAGACAAUGAUGCCUUCGGAUAUACAAUGCUUUGAUAUUUUCAUCCUAAGGAAAUGAUAUUAUUAUAUUUUUUUAAUUAAAAAAGUGCUUUAUCUAGGGAAAAUGACAAUACAAUUGUAGAUAUAAAUAAUUAUAGACUUCCAUUAAUUAUUUAUAGUAAAUAAAUAUUCUAGUUACUUAUGAUAAUUUAUUCUAUUUAAAUAUUUUUCAUUAGAAAAUGAUAAUAUGCAUUUAAACAUCAAAAGAAAUUAUUAAUAAGAACAAAGAAAGAAAAUUGAAAGUGAAAUACUUUUGAUGCAUAUUUACUUUUUAUUUUGGAUAGAAUGCUUUUUAAUAGGAAAAUUAAAAAAAUACAUUUCACGAUUGAAUAAUAUCAAGGUUAUGCAUAUAUGUAUUUCAAUGUCAUUUUUCUUUCUUUGAAAGUGAUAUCUACAUAUGUACAUACAUACAUACAUACAUAAAUGUACAUAUAUAUAUAAGCAUUGAAUAUUACAUAUAUAUAUAUAAAUUUAAAGAUAUAUUAUUGUUCUAUUACCAUUUCCUAGACACAAAAUGUUUUUUGCUACAAAAAAAAUAUAGUAACAUCCUUUCCGAAGAAUAAAAUGAAGAAAUCAUUAUGUAAUCAAGGGUAUGACUAUCUUUUCACACCUAAAAUUUAAUCCAGAUGCUUGACCAAGUGUUUGUAGAAAGGCAAUUCAUGUAUUUUCUAAUUACAAAGGAGCAACUUGCAAUUAAGCAUAUCUUGAAUUAACUUUCAUUAGAAAUCCAAUUGCAUUACAUAAAUCAGAAUGGGAAGGGAUUCUGUGAAAUUGUGAAAACAAUUGCACCAUCUAAUUGAUGGCCAAGGUGGGUGAAUUUAAAAUAAAAUAGUGGGUUUGAUUAUGAUAUAUAAUUUUCAACAAAUGAAAAAUUUAUCUAUAUUUUUACACAUUAUUAUCUUAGUGUCUAUAUUUAUUACAUUACUAUGUAUAUAUGCCGUCAUAGUAGUACAUAUAUUCCAUCAUGCAGUUAAAAUUAGUGAUUGCAUGGUAAUUGCGGAGACCCGGAUAGAAUAUGCAUCUUAGGCCAUGUUUGGAUUACUAUUUUCUAGAAAAAAAUAUUUGCGUUUUCUGCUGACACAUUUCCUUUGCAUUUUGCACCAUUGCCAGCUGAAAAAUAGUUUCACCUAAGAAGCUUUGGAUCACUUUGCAGUGGAAAAGUCGAAUAAGAUCUAACAUCUAGAAAGAAAAUAAUGCUGCUUCUCUUUAUAUUAACAGAAUGGCCCUUUUGUGGUCCUCAUAAAUUUGAAAAUGAUUAGUGAAUUAUUUUAUGGAUUAAUCUUUCCUACACUAGAUGAAUGACAGUUAUGUAAAAUUUGAAUUUGAAAUUUAACUUUUACACAUAUAUCAUGAAUCCAACGGUGAUAGUGGAUACACUGUCAGUGUAUAUAAGAUUUACUCUUAUUUUAUUUGUAACAUAAUCUCUUGUCUCCUUCCUCAAAUAAUUGGAUUUGAGCAACUGCAAUCUUUUUCCUGAAUGCUACUUUUCCCACAUUAAUUUUUUUUUCACACCAUUUAAAGAAUAAAAUAAUCUAGAGAUACCAUAUAGCAUCUUGUUCGCUACAAAUUUUUUUUUCUAAAUAAAAGAGAAAGAUAAUUUUGCCUUAUAUUUUCACCAUUUUAGCGGUGGCCAAUUUCAUGUAGGCGUCUUUCCCCAGUUUGAAGAAGUACAUGGUAAGCACCUGCAUGUUAGAAUAUGUACUGAAUUAGAAAAUGAGGUGAAACUAUGAAAAAAAAAUUAGGGAAUUUAUUUUCAGAAAAACCCUUUUUACAUUCAUUUAAUAUAGUAGUGUCCUUUUCCAAUUGAAGUCAGCAAUGCAUCAACCACUAGAAGAAAUGCAGACAUUCAACUACUUGGGGAAUCCUCAAGAGUUAGCAUUGUGGUAUGCCACUUAAUUUGGGUAAGCACAAAAAGUUUGGGCCCUAUCAAAGGCUCUCUUUUAUGGGGUUCUGGUGCCCUCCACUAUGAGACUGCCCUUAGUACUAGUAGUAUUACUUUAAUUGUCUCUUCUUUUCACAAAAACCCACUCACAUUUCCCAUCCACUUCUGCUGCAAAGAUAAGGAUGUCUUCUUUCUUGAUAUUGGCCCAUGAUAAAGUGUCACUCUCCUUGUAAACAAUACCAAAGAGUAUUCAUGUUAUCUCAGUGGAAACAUGCCCUUUUUGUAAAGUUGGCAUGAAAGAAUAGAUUCCCACCCACAACCUCAAAAAAAGUAUAAUUUAUAGUUAUCUGAGUUUUUACUUAAGAAAUUGCAACCAUAUAUCUUCUUAAAACUCGUGUUAGUGACAUGGAUAAUGUUUGCUUGCUUGUAAUAUUCUGAUUAUGUGUAUUAAAAAAAGAACAUUAUAUCAUGUGUUGCUUAGAUAUGAAGGAGAUUAAUUAGACGGAAUUGCUUUGAUAGUUUUAUAUGUCACCUUUUUUUUUUUUUUUUGAUAAAGUGCACAAAAGGCUGCCAGCCUGUUGAAUUUGACAUUGAAAUAAUAAAAGCAUACCCUUUAAAAUUAAUUAUAAAGCAUUAUUCUUGAACAGCUUUAUCAUUCUUUUUGCACAUUCUCUCUUGAUUUCAAGAGCACCAAUUAUAUAAAUGCAUAUUUUGACAGAGACAUUGAAUUCUUCAAGCCUAUACUCUACUCUACUCUACUAGAGAAUAUAUACCAUACAGGCCUCAUUCCCUGUGCAGAAGAUAUUCAUCUGGUUUCAGGCUUUCAGGCUUCAGCCAUUAGGAAUCAAAAGGUUCUGCCUGCCUUAUAUGCCUGAAGGAACUAUCCAAUUAUUUUGCUCGAGCUGUUGUUCUUUGUUUAUUUUCAAAUUUUUUUCCUAGUAAAGAAAGGAUGAAAUUUAAGAAGGAAUUAGAACUCAGAAUCUUCACGUUUUCAUACCUCAACCUUAGCCAAAAUUAAUUAUUAGAAUCAUUUGAUGCUUGGUUUUGAGCAAUAAGUUGCCCUUCUAGAGCCCCCCUCAAGAAAGAAGACAAUGGAUUUGGAUUUUGAGCGAAAAUGGCAGCUUGAAUUUAGACCAAAUCUCAAUUGACUAUGGAAUUAAUGAGGGGUUUAAUACUUUGAUUACAACAUUACAAAGGUAAACAACUUUAAAAUAUCGGUUUCUAACUUGAAAAAUGUGCAAAAUGGACCCCCAAAAUAAAAAGAACUAGUCUCUCUAACUCUUUUUUUUUUCGUCAAUCAAUUCGAUAAAUCAGCCAACUCAUGGACAAAGAGGGAUAAUUGAAAAAUGUGCCAUCUAAGCAUGGGAAUAUUGUAGGGAAUCCCCUCAAUUUUCCAUCACAACACCACCCAUCAGAACUGUUGGCUUGUCCUAUAGACAGUGCCUGUGCCAGGUUAGAAAUCACUAAUCAAAACAUCCCACUAGGUUCUAUUACAAGAUGAUGAUGGUUCACUGAAAAGAUGAACAAACUGGAAAGCAUGUGACGCAAUCUUUGUUGUACGAAAAAGCUUUGUAGUCUUUCUACCAUCUUUCUGGAAGAAAGCACAAAUGCGCUGUUUUCUUUAUAGACAUAUCGGACUAUGAAAGCCCAAAUGUAUAACAAGAUGUUUUGGUUGUAUAUGAAAAUAGACAAGCUAGGAAACAAAGGAAAAGCAAGGUUUGCCAUGCUCAAAUUGAACUUCAGAAAGCAUGUUUGCUUUCAAAUCCCACGAUAUUUAGUUCUCAAAAAGAGAAUUAAGAGAGACAAACAUCAAUUAACAUAGGUUUUAUUACAUGGUUUUUCCAUACUGCAAAAUAUCAGAACUAAUCAACUGACAUGAAUUGUGCAAACAUGUUUAAGAUUGACUACAAGAGGAAACACAACAAAGAUCAGAACUGAUCAACUUAAAGGUUCUGACAUGAAUUGUGCAAAUAUUAUAAGAUUGGCUACUAGAGGAAACAUGGGAUACCUUUAGUCACAGAAAAUAGAAAUUUGGACCAGUACAAAACUGAAUCAUGAAACAUCUUAGAAGAAUGCGUGACUCUGAUCCUGAAAUGUUUUAAUUAAUCAAGAAAACUAAAAAUCUUUUUCUCAUUCUGCAUAAUGUACAAAGACCAUACCUCUUUCCACUUUCAAGCUUCCCCAUACCGUUCAGUUAUUCAUUUAUUUUAUCAACAUAUUACAUUAUUGAUAAAAGUAAACUAUACUGUGUGAAAGUCUGUAGAUUCUGCUAUAGCCUGAAGUCUCUUUGGCUGAAUAUGCAAUACUUUUAGAAUUCAUACUUCAUUUUCUUUUUUUGCAGCAUGAUCUAAUGAAAUUUCUUAAACCAUUAUCAUAUCAACCAAGAUGCAUUACACUAACAUUUCUUUGAAACGAUUUAUAGUAUUAGAUAACAUGGACCACAGAGGAAUUUGUUGGUGUCUCUCUUAGUUGCAGUGGUUCGUCUGUGCAGGGGUGUUUCGCGAAUCGAGCAGCUUGCGAGCCGAUCGCGAGCGGCUCGAAUACGAGCUCGACUCGAGCUCGUCAAUAUCGAGUUCGAGUCGAUCUCGAGCUCGAGCUCGAGCUCAAAAACAUUAAGCUCGUUGGCUCGCGAGCUCAAUUAUAUAUUUUUUUAUUUUUUAUUUUUUAUUUUAAUAGUAAAAUUACAUAUAUAUCCCUAAUAUUUUAUUAUUUAUUAAAAAAUUAUUAUUUUAUUCAUUCUUAAAAAUAAAUAUUUAUUUUUUAUUUUUUAAAAAUAAAAAAUUAUUAUUAUUUUUUUAUUUUUAAGCUCGAGCUCGAGCUCGAGCUCGACUCGAAUUUGACUCGAGCUCGAGCUCGAUAUUUUGAGGUCGUCGAGCUCGAGUUCGAGUUCGAGCUUCACAAAAUUAACUCAAGCUCAGCUGAUUAGCCAAAACUCGACUCGAACUCAACUCGUUUGCACCCCUACGUCUGUGGUAUUAACCAAUUAUGAAAAUAUCCCCUUAAGAUAGGGAAAAAAAUUCUUUAUCUUAGACACAUUGUUCGGAUUCUAGAGCAUUUAUGCGCUCCCUGGAAAUGUAGAUUCUGAUGCUGGAGGAACCUUUUACGGGAUGAGACUUUAUCUUUUUUCUUUUUAUAUUUUUGGAGGAGAUGAUACACCAAUACUAAAGUCUGAGCAAUAGUAACUUUCAAUCUUCAAUCUCCAAUUUUCCCCGUCAAAGUUACUAAUGGCAUUGACAAGAAUUGUUAAUAUAUGAAUUCUUGAGAACUGUUAUACAUAUAUAUUACUCCAGCAAGUGAUGAUUAAUAUGCAAUAACGAUGAGGAGUGACAAUGGAGGUUCCACGAUUAUGUACAAAAAAUUUUAUGUCAUUCUUAAGAUAAUAAGAUUACGAGAAACCUACAAAAGUUGGUGUAAUACUGCGAGGAAUACUAACAUAGAAUUGGAGGUAAUUCUUUUGUUUAUUUUUAUUAAGAUUAGUCAAACAGUACAUGCUUUGCAUGUUAGUUCGUUACCUCUAUUCUAGCUAGUGAAACGAUAAUCAUCUCAAAACUAAUAAAAAGAAGGGUAAAAUAUGCUAUUUCCUGUAGUUUCAAAAGUUAAAUAUCAUCCCCUUAUAGUUUGAACUCAAGUAUCAAAGUGACAGAAUUUACAUUCCAUUGCAUGACGGAGUCAACUAAAAUAUCAAAAAUACCCCUAUAUAAAAUUAGAAAUUAUUUAUUAAUCAUAGAGAAGUUAUCUAUAUAUUUUGGAAACCAUGCAAGGGUUACAUGAUAAAGUACUAAACAAAAAGUGGUUUAUGUGGUAAAAUACAAAAACAACAAGAGGUUAAAGUAUCAUGUAUAUUUUGUUUAUAUAUUUUGGCCACUUCGGUCAUUUUAACUUUUAAAUAAUGUUAAUUUCAACAUUUCAGUGAGUUCCGUUAUAGAAGAUCAUUUUCAUCAUUUUGAUAUUUUUGUCCAAAUCAUGAGAGGAUUCUGUAUAACUUUUGAAACUACGGAAGGAUUAUGCAAAUAAUCACUAAACCUCAGGCGAGGUAAAGUGUAUUUUACUCUAAAAAGAAAAUGAGUUUUGUGGUUUAAGCUAUUCCAAAUUAUGUUUAUCUAAGAAGAAUGAAUCAUCGGUUUAGUAGAGAUGUUCUACAUUUAUAUCAUAAUGUAGAUAUAACACUCAAAAAAUAUUUAAUCAGACCAUGUGAUUAAUAAUUUUGUCACAAAGUAUAGAUUGGUUUUUUUUUUAACCUUUCUUGUCUUCUUACUCCUCAGUUGGAGGCAUACUUAUAUAAGCAUACUUAUGUUAUGGGUCCUAAUAGUUAAUGAUGCAAAAAUUGUUCUCCAAAUAAAUUUACUACCUUUUAGUCCUUCACGCAUAUUAAUUAAAAGCAAAACUUCUACAACGGUUGAAACUCCUUUGGAUUUUCACCUAGAAUAAGCCAAAUUACAUGAGUAUAUAUUAAUGCAAUAAAUUUGGUAACCAAAAUAUGAAUUUCUAUUUUGAGUAGCUAAUAAGAACCCAAGAAAAGGCGAACUUAAACAAAAAUGCCUCAUAUGUUUUUCUUGCCUUUUGCUUUUCUUAAAUAGAUAUUAGCUCCUUAUUUAUUUGAUUUAGAAUAAAGUUUCUUAUUCUUUCGAAGAAUUAGUUUUGGACUUACAAUGCCAUGAUUAUUUUCCCAUUAAGUAAAAAAAAAUAAAAAAAUAUAUAUUAUUUUCCAAAUAUCGUUACUUCCAGUGUUAAGUACAUGAAAUGAUUUACCAUCAAGGUUAAUAAGGAGAAAAUAUUCUGAAAGCUGUUACCUUGAUUGGUAAUUCUUCCAAGUUAGUCGUUAAAAUUAGGCAUUAAUUAUACUGAAAUUACUGGAAUCAUUGAAUUAGAAUUAGAAAUUGUAAAAUUUUGUAUUAGAAAUAUGCUAGAAAACGUGUUCAUCUUUAGAUGACACAUCUAUCAUUACCUUUAGACAUAUCACGUAAACUUCUUGUUAAUUAAACUAACCUAAAUAAAAAUGUUCAUUUCCCAGCAACUUAAACUCUGCCCAAAAGCAUAGUAGACAAAUUUGAUAGUAAAUAUAUUGCUAAAGAUGUAUAAUAAUGACUUGGAAUAUUUUUAGUCAAAGAAUAUUCACUUUUAGACUGCUUUAAAAAACUGAAUAGCUUGACAAAGAGUGCAAGAUAGAUUUAAAAAAUGGUCAAAUUUUAGAUAAUUACAUAAAAAUCUCAUAAUCCUCAAAACCAUAUAAUCUGUCCAUUACUCUGCUAAUUCAAACGUUCGAGAUGGGAACUAUCUCAUCUAUUUGUAACAAAGGAUACAUUUAUAUCCACUAGUAGGAUUGAUUUUCAUUUUUCAUGCAAAAGAGCACGCAAAAAUCCUUGUAGUUCUUUCUUGCAUCACCAAUUAUUGCAAUUUUAAUUUCCUCAAUUAGUUUCUUUCAAGGAUGGAACUUAUUGGCAAUAAAAUAGCAUCAUAUUGCUGCAUUGUCAAGUUUCACAAUUAUAAGAAAUCCUCAACCGGUAAAUGAAAUGCUAAGGAAUUAUUUGUGAUCACAUUUACCAACGAAUGUAAUUUUUUGGUCCGACAUGGAUAUACCCUAGAUAGUGUUUCUGCUCCAGGAGCAUAUGUCCAAAGAAGGAGCUGAAUAUUUAAAUCGAAGAUUGACAAUUUAAAAAAAUAUACAAAAUCAGACAAUAGACUUGAUAUACCUAAAUUCAAUACUCUAGGGCGGCGGUGUCAGAGAUAAACCUAGGUAUGACAGCGACGGCCAUCAUAUCAACCUGCCUGACCCUAGUCAGAUUUUGUCCGUAAGUACCAGACGCCGAGUAACCAAAUGGGUCCAACUAACCGAGAUGGACUCACCUCAUAAGGAUGAAGACGAGGAUGAACACAUCUCAUCCGAAAACAUGUUGGGUUGAGUCAUGUUGGGCCGAAAACAUGAAGACGAGGAUGGGCACCUCGGCCAAAAACAUGUUGGGUUGAGUCAUCUCGGUGAUGCGUCGAGCCGAGGAAGCGAAGGUGAGCGUGGACAUUAGCAUCCAAGUACUAGUCCCAAUGACUAAUAACUCCCCCUCCAAUAUAAAUGCCCAUCUCCUCCUCUAUUACAAGUAAUAAAUAUCAUCUCAAUUCUUCUCAGCUGAGCCCUUUAACACUUCAGAAGCUAAGGUGUGCAUCAAAAUGUCAUUGGGGAGAAAGAACCAACCUUCUUUGCCUUUGUUUUUUAUGCGCUGCAAGGUUCGAGGUUAGUAAGGAUGGUCAGUUCAGCCCGGACCGCCCGAGGCUUCACCUCUGCACUGCCUCUGGAAGUGCAGCCUCGUACGCCCUAUGCGCCGAAGUGGCCUCAAUCGAAGUUCUCAUUCCGAUGAGAGCUAUUGCCCAUAUGGCCGAGGUGAUGUUAAAGGAUCUGCCAACCGGAGAAGAGUAGGACGCGACUUCUGACACACAUGAUACCUGACAGAAAGCUGCUCUGACACAUGCGCCGUCUGACUCUGACAACUAUCCCUACACGCCUUUUCAGGAACCAGUCAAAUCAACUUGAUACACUACCCGUAUCAGCUUUCUAGGGACCUGAACAUGUAGUCUCUCUCUCCUAUCUACCUCUUAUAGAUACCAGAUACUCCUACUGAGAAAGGGAUGACCAAUCUCUGGUAAAAUAGGUAAUAUUAGCUUUCGUAACUUCUAGAUUUUUCUCCUCAUAUCCGGACUAACUUAAGUUUCAAAGUUACACCGGGGGAUCUAGCCCCUCUUGUAAUUUGAGUAGGUGACCUUAUUACAGUGAUCUCUUCAAGUCAGGAUACCUCUAAUUUUCGAGCCACCUCAGCAAGUCAAAAAUUACCUCUUUAACUGGCACCGUUUGUGGGAACCGAAGACAUCAGAAGAUGAAGCCCACGCGCUCUAGGAGCAGGAAGGUUCUCACCAUUGGAACUGAACAUAGUACCGCAGCUCAGCAGGAUAAUGCUUCUAAAGGGCGCGAGUCUCUUAGGACUCAACUCGCAAACGAAGAGGUCAUAACCCGUAUGGCCGAAUUUGUAAGUGAGAACCCUAAUAUUUUUGAGGAGUUAUGGAGAUAUUUUAAGAGGAAGGGCAAACAAAAGGCCGAGUCCUCUAAAAGAAAAUCAGAUGAAUCCCCUGAAGGCUCCUCAGAUGAGGAAUCUGAGGGGAGGCACUCCAUCAAGAGCACUCCGAAGCGAGCCUCUUCUAAGGCUACUUCCAGAAUCGCCUCCGUUACAAAGGCGCUCUCACGAAAUUUGUUAGGGAGGCGAAGUGAGGAAGAAUCUCGGCAUCCGAGAAGGCCAAGAGUGGACUAUAUGAGGGCCCUACCCUUUACACAUGAAAUCAACGAGGAAAGGCUUUCCCCAAACUUCAAGCUUCCCUCAAUAUCUUCAUAUGAUAGCCGAGGUGAUUCUGAAGAUUAUAUUCACGCUUUUAUCUUGGCAUUCCGGCUAUAUUGCAUUCCCGACCCUGUCAUAUGUCUGGUUUUUUCGAUUUUCCUACAGAUGAUAGCUCGAAAAUGAUUCUGAAAUCUAGAACUUAGGAGCAUAUCCACCAUGGGGGAGCUAGUAGAGAGAUUUCUCCACUGAUUCGUGUCUUUUAAACCCACAACCAGGAUCUCGGCAUAUCUGCUGAAUAUACAACAGAAUCCCGAAGAAUCACUUCGGUCAUAUAUGCAGAGAUUCCACGAAGAGAACGUGCAGAUACCUGAUCCCAAUGAGCAGGUUACGAUAGCCGCCUUUACCCACAGGCUUGUUGCCGGGGUAUUUAAUCCUGAGAUACACAAAAAGUACCCUCGCACCCUCCAAGAGCUCUGACUGAAGGUCGAAAAAGGCAUACAGGCCGAGGACUUCAACCGCACGAAAAAGGAGGUUCAAGCAUCUCGUCCGGGAGCUGAUUCCCGAAGGAAGAAAAAGAUCAGCCGAAAUGAGGCGGGUGUUACAAGUAGCUUUCAAAGUCCUAACUGGGAUCGUCCUAAUGUGUUCGAUAGGAUAGCCAAGGGGAAGUCAUUUAUCCCUGAUUCUGAGUUUACCUCUUUAAACACCACCCGAUCCCGAGUGCUAUCCGUAAUGGAACAGAAUAAUCUCGGACACACCUCCUGAAGAUGUUCGAAAGUAGAGAAAAGAGAAACUCUAACCUCUACUGUCUGUAUCAUCGAAACAUCGGGCACGAGACGGAAGACUGCAAUGACCUUAAAAAAGAGAUAGAGCACCUUAUCAAGUAGGGGUACUUGAAACAGUUUAUUCGUCGAGAUCGAUGUCACCAACAGAGCGGCUCUCGACGAGAGGACCGAGAUGAUAAGCGACAGGAGGACAAGCGAGGGUCAAGAAGCAGCUGCCGACUCCCCGAGGAUCCUAGGGAGGCAAAAAUGCCUCACCGAGACAGGUCCUCGGGUCAUGAAUUAGGGUACGAACAGAACACUGUCAGGGUCAUUAACACCAUUGCUGGAGGUCCGACGGGAGGGGACAGCCAGACUUCCCGAAAGAGGACCUACAGGUAAGCUAAUACUGAUAAGGCCGAACCGAGCUCUCACCUGUCCGAGGUGAUAUCUUACGGCCCCAAUGACCCCGUUCUCGCUGCUUCCAAUAGCCAUGAAACUCUGGUGAUUAAGGUACUCGCCAACAAUUACAUUGUUAAGAAGGUAUAUGUCGACCUCGGGAGUUCAGUGGACGUCAUGUACCUCCGGACCUUUGAAAGCCUGAAGUUGACCAGGGAGCAGCUCACCCCAGUAAGGACUCCCCUGGUAGGGUUCGGAGGACAUGUAGUUCACCCUGAAGGGAUGGUCACGCUGACGGUGAUGGUGGGGUGUCACCCCCGUUGUCGCAUCAUCCCGGUCAAUUUCGUCAUGGUUAAGGCCAACUCCCCUUACAAUUUGCUCAUGGGUCGACCCACACUCAAUGCUCUAUGUGCAGUAUAUUCUACGUAUCACUUGAAUUUCAAAUUUUCCACGCUAGCGGGAAUAGCUGAGGUGAGUAGCGAUGUCUGCGUGGCGCAGGAGUGUUACCUCACCACUCUACAAGCCGUCUCUACUUCAACCUCCGAGCCGAGGUCCGAGAGAAGAUCCAAUAUACUUUCGAUUGAUUGUAUCGAUCCUCAACAGUCAGGGGAGUUAAGAAGGCUGGAGACCGGACAUGAAGUGGAGGAUAUCCCCCUAGACCUCUCACGGCCAGGUCAGACGAUUCGCAUCGGCAUCCACCUCCCCCACCCCUUUAGGGGUCAAAUGGUAGACCUUUUCAGGGAGUAUCGGGACGUUUUCGCCUGGGCUGUCGAGGAGGUUCCAGGGGUGCCGCAUCACCUCAUGGUACACGAGCUAAAUGUUGACUCCCAGGCACGUCCUAUUAAACAGAAGAGAAGGCACUUCGGCUCGGAGCGCAGCAAAGCCGUAAGUGGAGAGGUGGACAAACACCUACCAGCAAAAAUGAUCAGAGAAAUGCAGUAUCCGACCUGACUAUCUAACCCAAUCAUGGUCAAAAUGGACACGGGAGCUUAGCGAAUGUGUAUCGAUUUUACUGAUCUGAACAAAGCCUGCCCUAAGGAUUGUUAUCCAUUGUCUAGAGUUGACGCGCUGGUAGACUCGAUAAUGGGUUACGAAGUCCUCUGUUUCCUCGAUACUUUCAAGGGAUAUCACCAGAUCCGGAUGAGCGAGGAAGAUCAGGAAAAAAUGACUUUCUACACAGAUCAGGGUGUCUAUUGUUACACCACUAUGCUUUUUGGCUUGAAAAACGCUGGGGCCACAUAUCAGCGUUUGGUCAACCAGGUUUUCAAGUCCUAAAUCGAUCGAAAUGUCGAAGCAUACGUGGACAACAUCCUUCUCAAGGCCUGAAAACCUCCACCUUCUUGGCCGAUCUAAGAGAGGCCCUUGAGAUAAUCCGUACUACCCGCAUGAUGCUAAACCCUAAGAAAUGUAUAUUUGGGUCAUUUCGAAAAAGUUCUUGGGAUACCUUAUUUCAUAACGGGGCAUAGAGGCCAAUCUUGACAAGGUCAAGGCGAUCUAGGAAAUGUCCUCACCUCGGUGUAUCCAGGACGUACAAAGUCUUACCGGGCGACUGGCCGCUCUGAAUCGAUUUCUGUCGCAGUCUGCCGCUAAAGCGCUCCCGUUCUUCAAGGUGUUAAAAAAGACUGACAAAUUCUCCUGAAUGAAAGAAUGUCAGCAGGCCUUCGAACAACUGGAGUAUUUUCACCACCUCCCCAUCCUCACUUCACCUCGUCUAGGGGACAAGCUCUACCUGUACCUGUCUGCCGCCAAAGAGGUUGUAAGUGCUGUACUGGUACGAGAAGAAGGUGUCCAAAUACCGGUUUACUAUGUUGGCCAGGUUCUUCGAGGGCUUGAGACAUGAUAUAUUCAAAUAGAAAAACUUGUGUUAGCCUUGGUCCAUGCGGCUCGUAAGCUGAAACUCUACUUCUUAGCUCAUCAUGUUUGUUUGAGAACAGGCCAGCCUCUUAGGCAGGUGGUGUCGCGGCCUGAGACUUCUAGCCGUCUCACUAAGUGGGCUAUUGAACUAGGAGAAUACGAUUUGUCCUAUGAGCCCCGGACGGCCAUCAAAGCUCAAACCCUGGCGAACUUCUUAGCCGAGCUCACUUUUGAUGAGGUGAAUGAAUCCACCUCAGCCACUGCUGAGUUCCAGCGGUGGAUCCUGCAUGUGGACGGUUCGUCUAACAGCGAGGAUAGUGGAACAGGUUUGCUCCUCGAAGACCCCCGAGGGGAGCUGUGUUCGUACGCACUUUGGUUCGACUUUACUGCCUCUAACAACGAGGCCAAAUAUGAGGCAGUCAUCGCCGGCCUACAACUAACUCUCAAGCUAAGUGUCCGGUACGUUCAAGUCAACAGUGACUCCCAACUCAUCGUAUGCCAGAUACUUAGUGAGUACGAAGCCAGAGAAAAGGUCAUGCGACGGUACCUCUCCAAAGUCCACCAGUUAACUGCACACUUCGAGUCUUUCAAGAUCCAAAGGAUACCCCGGUAGCAGAAUAGGCAGGCCGAUGCGUUAUCCCGUCUUUCCUCCACAUUUUUCUCUGAUUUAAAUAAGACGGUCCUCGUUGAGGUUCUAAUCGAACCAAGUUAUGCAAAAGACGUGGUGUGUCCUGUUUACCCAGGGGACACCUGGAUGAGCCCGUUAAUUCGGUACCUCGAUCAGGGAGAACUUCCAGAAGCCGAGGCGAGGAAACUCCAGCGUAAAGUAUCCCGGUAUGUUCUCUAGCAAAAUCUCCUGUACAAGAGGUCAUACUUCGAUCCAUGGUUGCGAUGCAUAACACCAGAGGAAGGGGAAAGAAUCCUCCAAGAUAUCCAUAAGGGGUUUUGUGGCGCCCACGUCGGCUAUCGAAUACUGGUCAAGAAGGCCCUAUUGCUUGGAUAUUUCUGGCCCACCAUCCGCCGAGAUGCCUAACUCAUGGUCCUUAGCUACCCUUCUUGCCAAUAUCACGCCCCUGAGCACCACCAACCGACUAACAAAAUGGUCUCCAUCACAUCACCAUGGCCAUUUGAACAAUGGAGGACGGACAUAAUUGGCUCAUUCCCCAAAGCCUAGGGCAACUACGCGUACCUCAUAGUGGCUGUGAAUUAUUUCAACAAAUGGGUCGAGGUCGAACCACUGAGAAGCAUGACUGGUUCAAAGGUCCAGAAAAUUUUUUAGAAAAACGUGAUCUGCCACUUCGGAUUGCCACGAGUGGUCAUCUCUGAUAAUGGCAAACAAUUCGCGAAUAACCCCUUCAAGGGAUGGUGCGAAAGCCUUGGUAUCAAGCAGUAUUUCACCUCGGUCGGACAUCCCUAAGCCAACGGACAAGUCGAGAACCUCAAUCGCACCCUUCUCCAUGGUCUCAAGACCAGCAAGGUCAUCAUUGGUGGAAGAACUCACCAGUGUGUUAUGGUCCUACCAGACUACUCCUAGAUCCGCGACACAAGAAAUCACAUUCUCAUUAAAUUAUGGAUCCGAAGCCAUAGUUUCAGCCGAGUUCAUCACUCCGAACCCACACACAGUAGAUUUCGUUGCCGAGCUGAACGAGAAAGAGAGACGGGUAGACCUCAACCUCGCCGAGGAGAAACGCGACAUAGCCGCAGCUAAAAUUGCACUGUACAAGAAUAUCCUAACUAAUUACUAUAACGCUCGGGUCAAACACCUACGGUUCAGUCCGGGAGACCUUGUGCUCUGGAAAAAUUCGGUUAGCUGAGUUGAACCUUAAAGUAAACCAAUUCCUAAAUGGGAGGGACUCUACCGCGUUAUUGAAUUCAACCAAAAUGGAUAUUAUAAAUUAGCUUACCAAAAUGGUUCUCGUGUACCCCGAAUUUGGCAUGCUGAGAACCUCAUAUUGUAUCACCCCUGAAGGGUGUGUACUUAAUCGACGAGUUAUUCAACGUAGCUUUUAUUUCUCCCUUAGCAUCAUUGUCUUAAGUGAAAAAUAAGGGGAUAGAGCAGGUAUAUUAGCCGAGUUCGAAUACAAAAAGAGAAAUUGAAAGUCAUUGCAUUAAAGACAAAAAAUUGAUUACAUAGCGCCGAGGUCAGGUACACUUCUAAGUACCCAUCAUCUCGGCGAUUUACCACAAAAAGCAUUUCUACACACUUCCUACCCUGGCGUCCUGAUUGUCCCCGGUCACCUCGGCACCACCACCUCCGCCGUCGACACCAUCAUCCCCGCCGUUGAGUUCAACUCCUUACAGGUCGAACUCGAAGAGCCACUGAUUGAAUUCGACUCGAACCUCGACUAGGCUCCUCCCAGCCUGGAUGCCUUCAGCCAUAUGGUCGCACAAUUCUUUGGCAUUCUUGUUAAAAUUGGGUUUCUCCUGAAGGGAUUCCAACUACUCCGAGGUAAGGAAGGGAACCGUGUCAUGAACUGCCGAGAUGUAUCCAAACAUAAAACUCGACAAUGUAAGCUCACCGAAGUCAUUAUGGAAGGUCUCGGAUUUUUGGAAGGCCUCUAGGGCAGAGGUCCCCGCCUUCUCUAUGGCCUCCCGAGCUGACUGUUCCUCCUGGGCCCUUCUAUCUUUUUCUUCCUCAAAGGCCGUCAUCAAGGAAUUCUUGGUAGUCUCGACUUGCUCUCAUGCUGCCUCGGCCUUAUCACAGUCCUGCUCGGUCGCUUUUAACUUUUCCUGCAGCUUGGUGACCUUCUUUUCAAACUCGGAGGAAGGCUGAUAGUUUUCGACCAACCUGGUGUAGCGUUGAGUCAUUUCGGCUAAGAAUGCUGUGGUGGAGCCCAGGAGACAGACGCGCUCUACAUCGAUUCCGCUGGAGUAAGCUUCCUGACGUAGAUGCUGUCUCUCGGAAGAACUGAAUGCACCAGGAGCUCCUGAGCAACCAAUGGAUUCUUACAGCGAUCGUUCACGUUGAGAUCCCAUUCCGGACACCAAUGCGAGCCGGAGUGCCUCUUAUCCUCCCCAACUUCUUGAGAAGGCACAUUGUGGAGGUUGAACAAUGAAGACCCCAUCACAGGGACUUCGAAAAACACAGUAACCCCUCUGCCCCGGGAUGGAGAAACUAUCGUCACUCCUCGGAUUAGCACCCCAACUGGAAUGGCCGAGGUGCGGGAGCUCUGUCCAGUAAUUAUCACGGGAGAACCCCGGCUCACUGUGGCCGUGGUGGCCGUGGCCGGGGUCGCCUUCUUCUUUGGCCGAGUAGACGGUUCGACCGUGUCUUUACGUUUAGGUGGCAUCUUGGCUACUCUGGCCGCUCCUGAAGUGAUCAAGUCGGAAACUCUCGUCACUGCGUAGCGUAAAAGUAGAGUUAGUUAAAAUCAAGAAAAAGCAAAGACAAAGUAGGAAGCGAAAAAGUACAAUAUUUUCUAAGCCUAGUAGAAAAGAAGGGCGGAUGGUCUGGCCUGAUGAGAGCUCGGCUAAUCCUUCCAUCAACAAGAACUGCCUCGAAAAAAUUUCAACAAUUGAUCCUGAGACCCGACUCCAUUAAUUUUGUGAAAUUCUCUUCUUCCAGAUGGCCCGGAGAGGUUUUCUUGACCGGAGAGGUUUUCUUGACCGGAGAGGUUUUCUUGACCGGAAUGGAAGGCCUCCACCAGAAUCCCCUAGGGAAGUCAUCAGUCGGGACAAAUAUGAAGUUCCUCUUUCACUCCUUUAUCAAAGUGGGGGCAUCCACCACUAAUUUCGAGACCUUGUUCCCGAAGUAGAACCAUCCCUUUUCACUCCCACUGUUCUUAAUUGAGUAGCAACGGCGAAAGAGGUUAACAGUAGGAGUUAUUUCUUGAUAUCGGCACAGCAUCUGGAAGCCGACCAGGACCCGGAUUGCGUUAGGGGUAAGUUGAGUGAUCCUCACCACCCAAUAUCUCAGGCAAUCCCUGAGAAAUCUCGUGAUCGGCACUCUGAGUUUUGCCUCUAGUUGGUCGGCGUAUAUGGCCACCCUACCCCUAGGAGGGAGUUCGGCUGACUCAUCCGGCCGAAGAGGAUAGAUGCUGUAGUCCCUCCGCCAGAGGUGCUUAUUGACCAACUCGGCAGUCAGAGACUGACCCAUAAUGCUGCUGAACAUGGGGACCUGGCCGUAGUUAAUCCUGUCAGAUCCGGAGAGGUGGCUGGCUCUUGCACACCCUCAUCCCUAGGGAUUUCGUUACCGAGGUCAUCGUUGUAAAGAAUCUCGGUUUCGACCUCGGUUUCCUCGCUUUGCCCUUGAGGCGUCCCGGCCCAAUGAGACUCUUCAACACUCCCUUCCCUGGCUUCGGAAGCAGUUCUCUCCUCAGAAGGGUCGGGUCUCUCUGCGACUUCGGAAACAGUUCUCUCCUUGGAAGGGUCGGGCCUCUCCGCCUCGGUGAAACUCAGUCUCACCAUUUCCUUGUGUGUGCGUGCUGUUCUGGCCAUAAGUAAAGGAAGAGAAAUGAGACUUACUCUUGAAGGAAUUUCGAAUUCCAAGAGAUUGCCGGAGUGAAAAAUUGAAGACGAUUUGAUCUGAGGUGAUUGAGAACUUUUUCAAUAAAAGGUAAAAUAGUGAAAAUGACCCCCUAUUUAUAAGCCAACAGAAUGAGACUGAAGGGGCGGCACCUUCGAGAUUCUUUAGGGAACACCCUCUCUCCUAAUUAAUGAGAGUACUGCUCAUCUGACCGUUGAUUUCGCGCCUAUCCGUGGAUCUGUCAUUAAAGCUGACAGCUAUCAUUUCACUUCUCUACCAGUCCCAUCCACGCAUGUAUGACGUGUCAUUGCUGAGUUCCACGUUCCAGACACACUCGUCAGCCUCGGGAAGCAGCGACCUCGUCCUUCGCGAAGCUUGGGGGGCUUAGUGAGAAUGAUCAGUUCGGCUCGGACCGCCCGGAGCUUCACCUCUGCACUACCUCUAGAAGUGCCGCCUCGUACGCCCUAUGCGCCGAGGUGGCCUCAAUCUAAGUUCUCAUUCCGGUGGGAGCUAUCGCCCAUAUCGCCGAGGUGAUGUUAAAGGAUCUGCUAACCGGAGAAGAGUGGGACGCGACUUCUGACACACAUGACACCUGAUAGAAAGCUGCUCUGACACAUGCACCGUCUGACUCUGACAACUGCUCUUACACGCCUUUUCAAGGACCAGUCAAAUCAACUUGAUACACUGUCUAUAUCAGCUUUCUAGGGACCUGAACCUGUAGUCCCUCUCUCCUGUCUGCCUCUUAUAAAUACCAGAUAUUCCUACUGAUAAAGGGACGACCAAUCUCUGGUAAAAUAGGUAAUUUUGGCUUUCGUAACUUCUAGAUUGCUCCUCAUAUCCGGACUAACUUAAGUUUUGAAAUUACACCGGGGGAUCCAGCCCCUCUUGUAAUUUGAGCAUGUGACCUUAUUACGGUGAUCUCUUCAAGCCUAUUACUAAGGGGUAAAAAGAAAACUAAUUUUUCAUACCUGCUCAUUGAAAAUUGUACUAUAUGAGAAGCAUCAUGUUCAACCAUUUUUCUUACAUAUCUAGCUGAAAUAUCAUUCUUUGAUCCAUGGUACUUGAGAGGUUUCCAAUCCUGUGAAAGAGAAGAGAAGAAGAGAAGAAAAAAAAGACUAAUGAGUUGUAAAAGAUACAUCUACGAUUUAAUUAGCAAAUAGUAACUAAAUAAAUAAAUAAAUCAGUAAGUUCAUAAAUGCUAAAUGGAUAAUUGCUGAGAUUAAUGUGAAUGAACUUUUCCUGAAGUACAAUUUGAAGACCAAAUGAAGCAUACCUCUACAGUAUCUUUGUUCUGCACACUCUCCGUCCCAGAUGACUUACCCAGCAAAUGAAAUUAUCCAAGUUUAUAAGAUCUAAUCAGAUGCUAGACACUCAGAAAUGCUACAUUUAGCAUGGCUCAAUCCAGAAAUGACACAUAAAAACUUAACCCCCCCCCCCCCCCCCCGGCCCCCCAAAAAAAAAAAUCCAUUGCCUGCAAUAGCACCCUCUAAAUGCCUAGCAGAGACGCAUGUUACCGUACAUCUCUCUUCUUGAUUCAGGUGUAACCACAGGUGCAGAAAAAUCUUUCAAUCGAGUGUUGUUAUAACUACCUCUCAGUGGAUACAUUGUCAUGAUGCUUCUGCUAAAGUUGGCAUGGCCAUUAAACGUUUAUGUUAAGAAAUGUCAAAAAUUUUGAUGUUAAAUUUGAUUUAUCUUAAGUUGCAACGCAAUUCAACUUUGUAGAGUCCUGCUAUCAUACUGUUAUAGUGAGAUAACCAUGGGAAUUACCAAUAUUUCUAGUUUCAAUUGCUUAUUAUGUUGGAUGAGAAGAAGCUCAAGGCAAGAAAGAACCAGAAAUAAUAGGAGAAAACAGAAAGCAGAGUUCAAUAAGUCCAAAUAGAAAAGCACAAAAUUACAUGUAAAAUGAGAAUGAACAAGAUCGAAGGGCAUAUCUCGUUUCCAACAAGAACUCCAACAACAUAUAUAUCCAGCUCCAACAGGUGGCUUCCAUGGUGAGUUAAGAGUCUAGAAAAGGACCACAGGCCAACAUAUUAUACAUAGAUAUUACUAGUAAUAUAUAUAAAUGAAACGAGAUUCAACAGAAAUCACAGAGAUAAACAAAUCCUAGCCAUAGUAAUAGCAUAAAGAUAUGAGACAAAAACUCUUUGAAGACAAAGAAACUCAUGCAUUCUCAGUUAUAGAACCAAACUAUGGACAAUCUAUGUUUUAAUUUGUAGUUCACAAAAACUUUGAUCAGCUAAAAGGAAAUUUAAUACUUCAAGAAUUCUAUCAGCUUCGUUAUAUCAGGAAAAAAAACUGGAUCAUGUGGAAGCGCGUUGAGACUACGGAUUAUGCCAUCAGGAAGUAUAGCGCAAAUGCUAGGAAGUCUACCAGUUUUAAAGAUACUUCUUAUGGAUUUGCAGCGGCCUUAUCAGGUCCCUGAUCAGACAAACUCUUAGGAGCUAUGUCACUAUGCUGUUGCAAGGUUUCAUUUAUUAGGUGUUCAAAAGCAAUUAUAAAUCAAAAGACUAAAUUUCUGUCAUAAUUUUCCACGCUUGAAUCAUUCAGAUAGAUCAUAUGAGUGAUGAAAUCAAAAGGCAGGAUAUAUGCUUUGUCAUUGGAACUCUAGGUUCAGCAUGAGAGUAAUAGUUCUUGGAAUCAUACUCUAGUCACCUUAAUUUCCCUCCAUUAACACUUGAUGUAAGAAAAUUUGCUGUUAAAGAAUUCUUUUCCAAAAGCAUAAUGCUAGAAAGCUAGCUUCUUGGGAAUUUUUUCGAAAGCAUAAUGCUAAUACAUUUGAUGGUUUCACUUCUUUUUUUUAUCUUUUCAUUAAUCUAAAUUUAUAGGGAUAGAUAUAUUUUUUACUUGUGAUUUCUUAUAUUUGAAACUUUUGAGAUUAUUUGGUAUGUUGUAUAAAAAAAAAAAAAAGACAUUCUAGAUUAAAAUAUUAGGAAUAUUAAAUACUCAUAUGAGACAUUAUGAUGUAAAAGUUAUACUAGUUAAGAUUCAAAUUAUAUUUCAUAUAGUUCUAAAUUUAAGAAAACAAUUAUUCCAUGCUAAAGUGAACGAUAAAUUUCUAGAAAAAAGAAAAAGGUAAAACAACUUACGAGGGAGAUAAUUUGUAUAUCAUCAGCUGGUUUUUUUUAUUAAUUCUAAACAAUCUAUUCUUAAGAUAGAUAAAAUUUAUGAUUGGAACAAAAACCCUCAUGCCUGUAUAAUAGAUUAACCAAGAAUUAAUUGAAAAAAACAAAAAAAAAAUUGUCGGUUCAUCUCUGCUGGAACAUUUUUUAAGAGUUUGCCUUGGUUCCAGAAUCUGUUUGUAUUACCGAUUCCCAGUCAAGCAAUUUCAAAAGGCGUGGUCUUUUUAUAUGAGAACAUCACCACGCCUUCUGUUAUCCAAAAGCCCAUCAGAUCAGAGGCAUUUCUCCUCUACUAGCUAGCACCACGCCUUCCAGUUCCACAAGUAGUCACCACUUGAGAUAGGACUCUCCCAAUAUUUUACUGUCUUAAAAUUUUCAUAAUACAUAGCUGCAAAAUGGAAAAGAAACAAGAAAAAGGAGAAACCCCCCCCCCCCCCCCCCCCCCAACAAAGGAAAGGGCAAGAAGCCAAGAACUCCAUAGUUAGUUCUAGUCUACAAGAUGGAAACAAAAUUGAGAGUUAUCCAUGACAUAUCAACGAUAAAAUCUCUCUUUUUAAAAACCACUUGAAUUUAGCUAGAUUUUUUGGGUUAAAGCAAUGGAAAGAGGUGUCUACCUUCAAGCUCCAAAAGGGGGGAAAUGGGGAAAAAAGAAAAGAUGAAGAAAUAAGUCAAAAUAAUUGUAAUUGUCAAUCAAUAUAUUUCAUAAACUUAAGAUUUUUAUUUUUUGAACAAAAUGAACUCAAGAAUUAAGAUCAGACAAUAAGCCCGAAAGUCACACUCGUGAUAAAGAUAUUGUAUGGCUCUUUCACCUUUUUGCUUUUCAUUUAUGUGCUUAAUUUGUACAUUCCUAUCAUUCCCUUUGCCAAAUUUUUCAUUAGAUAUCACAUAAAUGAGAGGUUAUAUUAUGAUGUUAUAAAAGUAACAAAGUGCCAUUAACAAAUAGAAGAAUGCCCAAUAUCACCUCACAAUCCUAAAAAUAAAAAUACCAUAAUUACCAUUUUGACUCUUAUCCCAAUGAUCUUUUGUUCCCUUUUCACAUUACUCUAGGAUGGAACCUUGGGCCAAGGCAUGUUAUCUGAACUCUAUCUCUACGUACAAGCAGCAGACAAGGAAAAAGUAGACCAGGAGACAAUCUUGUUCAAUAUCCUUGAACUGCUCUGAAUAAAGUUGAAAAAGCUAAAAAUUCCAAAGUUGAGUUGAUUAUGACAGUAGCAAUAUUUGACAAAAUUGCAGGUCUCUUUGGCAUCUGCUUGAUUACAACAUAACAUAGGAUUCUUACGCUACAGCCUGCUUUUCACCUUAUACUCUUGCCAAAUCUUAUAAGACAACUCUUCUCCAUCACUGAAAUUUUGUGUAGCAGUAGUAAUAAUGUCAUCAAUGAUGAGAGGAAAUUCAAGAUCAUCAAUUGAAUCAUCCUGCAAUGGAAUUGUUCGUAGAAUGGUAAGCCUUCCCAGGAGCAUUUUAGGGGGUGUUUCCAGAGCAAUGGGACAAGGCAUGGACUUUAUUCGAAUAGGAGGAAGAAGACACCACCCUCAUCAACAUCAUCAUCUACCAUUAGCAACAGAUUUUCCAUUUGAGCAAUAUCCCUCAUCAGAUCCUCCUGUGAAUGGAUCAUUCAAUCAACCUUCACAGAAUUUUCAGCAGCCACCGAUGGUACAAGAGGAAUGGGCAUUUCUAGCAAGUCUGGAGCAGGAAUAUGGCACAAAUCAUCCAUUUUUCUACGUUUGUCGGUUCAUGGAUGCUCUGAAGAUGGCUCAAGAAGAGCACAAGUUCAUUUUCCUGUACUUGCACUCCCCUGAGCACCAAUUCACUCCCGCUUUCUGCAGGGAGACUUUAGGUUCUGAGCUGGUUGUUCAGUUUCUCGAUGCAAAUUUCAUUAGCUGGGGAGCACUUGCAAACAGAGGGGAGGGGUUCCAUUUGGCUUCAACAUUAAGGGCCUCCAACUUUCCAUUCUGUGCUGUGGUCGCUCCAGCUUCUGCUGGCAAUUUAGCAGUUCUGCGACAGGUAAGAGGAAAUUUUAUACAGAAACUUCAUUUCGUUUUGAAAUGUUUAUAAGCACCUGAAUAUGAAACCUCAACAUGACUAGAAUGCCUAUUGCCUAAACUAGAUGGUUUUGUGUACAAUCAAAAGGUUCAGUAUAAAAAGAUUUUAAUCGUCCUGCAUUUCAGAUUAAAUUAUCGGCAAAUAGGAACAAAGAUAUCCCCAAAUAUUAGGUGUUGGCUGAUAUCUCAAGUCAAAGUUUCUACAGCCCGUACUACCUGGGAUUCUGCUUUCUCAUUUUUGCUGUGAAUAUGAUCGCAAAAGAAGGAAAUUACUCCCAAGAAAGUUUAGAUCAUCUUUUCUGAUGAUAUGGUCAUACUUCUUGUAAUGGUAGUAUAGUGCACUGAGGGGAGACUACUGGCCAUGAUUGGGCUCAUACCUUAAAGCAGCAUCUUUUCCAUCUUUUUUUAAUGUGUUUUCACAUUGAAAUUCUCUAGUGUUGAUUCAGUUGUUUCAAUUUCAAGACAUGUUCUUCCAUGAAAAAUCUGAUGCAUCUGAACUUCCUUACUAUCAUUAUUCAUUGAUAUGUCACCUGUAUUUGAUUUGUGAAAGAAGGGAAACUCUCUGACUUGCCCUGUGUAGAUUGAAGGUCCAGUCUCCCCUGCUGAAUUGGUGGAGAUACUACAAAGGACCAUGGAGGAGCAAGGACUGGCAUUUGACAGUGCAAGGGCCAAUGAGGAAGAAAAAAGAAGAGCAGAUCGUAAAUUGAGAGAAGAACAAGAUGUUGCCUAUGUUACAGCCCUCCAGAGAGAUCAGGUGCACUUUUGCUCAAAAUUAGUCGAGCUUCGAUUAAGUUAAUGUCUGAAUCAAACCAGUAGGAAACAGGCUUUCCCAUUUGUACAGGAGAAGGAAAAGCUCAGGAGUUUCGCUUCAGAACAAAGAGUUUCAAAAGCUGCAAGUGCCUCCAAUUCAUCUAAUCAAGAAAAAACCAAGCCAGUUCCUCUAAAGCAGCAAAACAACCAAAUCAAGGAUGGUCCAAGAGCAGGAGGAGCUAUGCAUAAAGGAAAUGCUCAAGAAACAAAGGUACUUGAUCAAGACUUAUCCUCUUUGUAGUCUUGUAAGAGUAUGCUUUGGUCCAUAAUAUUUCAUAUGCCCAUUGAGCUUGAUCUCAAGAAUGAACUCCUCAUCUUUCUGUGUAGAUAUUGAUAAGGUUUCCAAAUGGGGAGAGAAGGGAACACAGCUUCUUGAGCACAGACAAGGUUCAAGCAAUUUUUAGGUACAUUAAUUCACUAGGCUUGCCUGGAGUUGGCGGCAAUUACAGGCUAAUUUCUAACUUCCCAAGAAAGGUGUUUAGUGUUGAUCAGAUGGGAAUGACGCUGACAGAGGCAGGCCUUCAUCCAAAAGCUAGCUUGUUCUUGGAGCUUCUUUGACCAUAGAAGUUUCUUUUCCUUGGUACGUUACUGAAGUUUCAGAAUACAAAUUAAAGAAAUGUUUUCAGCAUCUCACUUUGUUGUUAUGGAGACUUUGGGUAGCAAGUAUUAUUAUUUAUAAGUAAUAAUAAAACUUUUGCUAUAAUUCAUUACUUUCCUUUCCAUAACAAAUUUCAAUCAACGUAGUGAUUUUCCUACUUUAUAUAUAUUUUUUAUUGAUUUUUAAUCCAUGAAUCUAUAGUUCCAAAUGCUGUUCAGUUUCUGUUUUUCUAAGUUGGUGAUUUUGCCCACACACACACACACACACACACACACACUUCCCUAUAAUUAAUCAAUUAUAAAUUUCAUUCUAAUUAAUUUCCAUUCAUUCUAAAGCAUACCAAAAAAAAAACACAGAUAUAUUCUAUCUUCUAAUUAGAAAAUUCAAAAUUAGUUACCCUUUUUUUCUUUUUUGGCAAUCACGAUCACAUGCUGCUUAUAUGUACAUUUUUUGUUCUUUUUCCUUUAAAGGAUUUUUCAUAUUAAUUUCUUUUCUUUAAAUUUUUUUUUAAAAAGUAAUCAAAUAUUGAUAAUACUCUCUAAUAUAUUUACUUUUCUCACACAAUACUUUAUUACCAUCAAGAUGAGGUUUGAUGAGAACUAAUCAUUAUAUUGUGUAGGAGUAGCUAUUUUUAUGUCUUUUAGUCUAAAUAUUUUGUUUUAUAUUUAGUAUUUUAAAUUUUAUUAAAUUUCUUAUUUUAGUGCUUUUGUAUCCAUGACCAUCUAAAAGAAAUAUCGAAGAUGAAAAGAAAAGCAAGUGCGACUAACUAGUUGUUAGAUAGAAGAACGUUUGGGCUGAGGUGCCUCAGGGUAACUACUGCUUUGGUGCUUGUCCUCUUCCAAAGGAGCCACCAGAGACAGUAAAUAAUCCUGGACAUGAAACUAAUUCAAGAUUAGUGCUGGCAAUCCAAUUCAACCAAAGAAGGAAAGGUGCACUCCAGCCCAGAAUCAGCUGCUUAGAACUGUUUUUAUCUACUGCUUAGAACUCAUUCCUGCCAACUUCUGGUGGGAACAGAGACCUGCUUAAACCCGCAGCCCUGCUCUCAGCGCCAGCCUUGCUUGUACACCCUAGAUAUGCAAGAGACGUUUUUUCCAAUAUGCAAAGCUAAAAAUUGUCUAAUCCCGGCAAGGAAUAUAUCUCGAAGAGCAAAUUUCGAAACUUACCAUGCAUGUGAUACGAAAACAUGUGCAGAUGCUGACUGCUGAGCGUUUGCCUUUGUAAUGGAAAGAUCCUAACAUGCAUAGCUGGCUGCCUUACCGCUUUCCCCCUCAUCCCCAAUCCAUAGGAUGAAUACUGGGGACAUAUGCUUUAGAAUGCCAAUUUAGGGAGCACAUAUGGUGCAUACAAAGAAGCAGCAAGUGAAAUAAGUCAUUGAUAUUUAACCAACACACUUCCCAGCUUAAUCAGUACAAAGAAUCAUAAUCUACUCUUAACUGUAGCUGAUACUUGAAAUCCAAAAGCCAAUUAAUUGCGGUGCAUGCAGUAAUAUGGCUUCUGCCCUAGAUGGCUCUUCAAACCAAAAGAAGAGAUAUCCACCCAUAGGCAUCAAAAAACAAUGCAUGUAAUUAACACGGACCGCGGAGUUGCCGAUGGAGCAGCAAAAGAAUUGCGAAAAGCUUAAAAAAAAAAUGGCCGCAUCAAUUAAGGUUUCAAAAGGAUUUCUUUUCAUAAGAUACCAAACCAUGAACUCCUCCUUCGACUU